GAGAAACCUUUCCUCGAGAAAGGAUCCGUUUCUAGAAACAAACACUUUGCUUUCGGAUCUGAGAUAGGAGAUGUACCCAACUGUUUUGGAUAUCCUAUGAAGAUGCUUUUAUCCGCUUUGGGUUCGAGCUUAUCAGAUUGAAACCUUUUUCACAUAAGUGUCGAAGCCCCAAACAUUCAAGAAACGACAGUUUAGAUUUCCCUAAACCUCAGUCUAUACUGUGUCAUCUCAAUGGAAAUACGCGGUGCCCUAUUUAAAGUGAAUGCGGUUGUCUCUAAUGCAUAACCCAUAAACGAUAGUGGUAAUUCGAUAAGAGACAUCAUAGCAUGCACCAUACCAAAUAGUGCGUGGCUAUGACGUUCAGACACAUCAUCACACUAUGAUGUUCCAGGUGGCAUGAACUGCGAAACAAUUUCCACAUUGUCUUAACUGCGUACCAAAACUCGUAACUCAGAUAUUCAUUUCUAUGAUCAUAUCGUAGACAGUUUAUCCUCUUGUUACGACGAACUUCACUCUGAAACAGAAUUGAACUUUUCAAUAUUUCAGACUUGUGAUUCAUUAAGUAAAUACUCUUGUAUCUACUUAAAUCGUCAUUGAAGUAAGAACAUAAUGAUAUCCAUUGCGUGCCUCAGCACCCAUUGGACUGCAUACAUCAAAAUGUAUCACUUCCAACAAGUUACUAUUUUGUUUCAUCUCAAUGAAAACAAGGCCUUUCUCAUGUGGUAUGAUUAGCAUGUCACUAGUGAUUCAAAAUCAAGUGAAUAUAAAGAUCCAUCAAUAUGGAGCCUCUUCAUGCAAUUUAUACUAACAUGACUCAAGCGGCAGUGCCACAAGUAAGUGGUACUAUCAUCAUUACCUCGUAUCUUUUGGCACCAAUAUUGUGAACAUGUGUAACACUACGAUCGAGAUUCAAUAAACCAUUGAAGGUGAUUAUUCAAGCAAAUAGAGUAACCAUUAUUCUCUUUAAAUGAAUAAUCGUAUUGCAAUAAACACGAUUCAAUCAUGUUCAUGCUUAACGCAAGCACCAAAUAACAAUUAUUUCGGUUUAACACCAAUCCCGAUGGUAGAGGGAGCGUGUGACGUUUUGAUCAUAUCAAUCUUGGAAACACUUCCAACACGUAUCGUCACCUCGCCUUUAGCUAGUCUCCAUUUAUGCCGUAGCUAUCAUUUCGUGUUACUAAUCACUUAGCAACCGAACCGGUAUCCAAUACCCUCAUGCUACUAGGAGUACUAGUAAAGUACACAUCAACAUCAUGUAUAUCAAAUAUACUUCUUUCGACUUUUGCCAGCCUUCUUAUCUACCAAGUAUCUAGAGUUGCUCCGCCUCAGUGACUGUUCCCCUCAUUACAGAAGCACUUAGUCUCAGGUUUGGUUUAAUCUUGGAUCUCUUCAUUAGGGCUGCAACUGUUUUUCCGUUUCACGAAGUAUCCCUUCUAGCCCUUGCCUUUCUUGAAACUUAGUGGUUUUACUAACCAUCAACUAUUGAUGCUCCUUCUUGAUUUCUACUUUCGCAGUGUCAAACAUCACGAAUCGCUCAAGGAUCAUUGUAUCUAUCCUUGACAUGUUAUAGUUCAUCACGAAGCUCUCACAGCUUGGUGGCAGUGACUUUGGAGAACCAUCACUAUCUCAUCUGGAAGAUUAACUCCCACUUGAUUCAAGCGAUUGUCGUAGUCAGACAAUCUGAGCACACGCUCAACGAUUGAGCUUUUCUCCUUUACUUUGUGGACAAAGAAUCUUGUUGGAGGUCUCGUACCUCUUAACAAGGGCACAAGCAUGAAAUCACAAUUUCAUCUCUUUAGAACAUCACUUAUGUUCCGUGACGUUUCAAAAUGUUUUCGGCGCCUUGCUUCUAAGCCAUUAAGUAUUUUGCACUGAACUAUCGUGUAGUCAUCAGAAACGUGUAUGUCGGAUGUUCACAGCAUCCACAGACGACGCUCGAGGUGCAGCACACCGAGUGGUGCAUUAAGGACAUAAGCCUUCUGCGCAGCAACGAGGACAAUCCUCGGUUUUACAGACUUAGUCUGCAAAGUUUGCUACUAUCAACUUUCAACUAAAUUUUCUCUAGGAACAUAUAAAAAACAGUAGAGCUAUAGCGCAAGCUACAUCGUAAUCCGUAAAGACCAUUAGACUAUGUUCAUGACAAUUAGUUCAAUUAAUCAUAUUACUUAAGAAAUCCCACUCAAAAAGUACAUCUCUCUAGUCAUUUGAGUGGUACAUGAUCCAAAUCCACUAUCUCAAGUCCGAUCAUCAUGUGAGUCGAGAAUAGUUUCAGGGGUAAGCAUCUCUAUGCUAAUCAUAUCAACUAUACGAUUCAUGCUCGACCUUUCGGUCUCAUGUGUUCCGAGGCCAUGUCUGCACAUGCUAGGCUCGUCAAGCUUAACCCGAGUGUUCCGCGUGUGCAACUGUUUUGCACCCGUUGUAUGUGAACGUUGAGUCUAUCACACCCGAUCAUCACGUGGUGUCUCGAAACGAAGAACUGUCGCAACGGUGCACAGUCGGGGAGAACACAAUUUCGUCUUGAAAUUUUAGUGAGAGAUCACCUCAUAAUGCUACCGUCGUUCUAAGCAAGAUAAGGUGCAUAAAGGAUUGACAUCACAUGCAAUUCAUAAGUGACAUGAUAUGGCCAUCAUCAUGUGCUUCUUGAUCUCCAUCACCAAAGCACCGGCGUCACACCAUGAUCUCCAUCAUCAUGAUCUCCAUCAAAGCGUCGCCAUCGGGGUUGUCGUGCUACUCAUGCUAUUACUACUAAAGCUACGUCCUAGCAAUAUAGUAAACGCAUCUGCAAGCACAAACAUUAGUAUAAAGACAACCCUAUGGCUCCUGCCGGUUGCCGUACCAUCGACGUGCAAGUCGAUAAACGCAUCUGCAAGCACAAACGUUAGUUUAAAGACAACCCUAUGGCUCCUGCCGGUUGCCGUACCAUCGACGUGCAAGUCGAUAUUAACUAUUACAACAUGAUCAUCUCAUACAUCCAAUAUAUCACAUCACAUCGUUGGCCAUAUCACAUCACAAGCAUACCCUGCAAAAACCAGUUAGACGUCCUCUAAUUGUUGUUGCAUGUUUUACGUGGUGACCAUGGGUAUCUAGUAGGAUCGCAUCUUACUUACGCAAAUACCACAACGGAGAUAUAUGAAUUGCUAUUUAACCUCAUCCAAGGACCUCCUCGGUCAAUUCCGAUUCAACUAAAGUUGGAGAAACCGACACCCGCCAGUCAUCUUUGAGCAACGGAGUUACUCGUAGCGACGAAACCAGUCUCUCGUAAGCGUACGAGUAAUGUCGGUCCGAGCCGCUUCGAUCCAACAAUACCGCAGAAUCAAGAAAAGACUAAGGAGGGCAGCAAGACGCACAUCACCGCCCACAAAAACUUUUGUGUUCUACUCGAGAAGACAUCUACGCAUGAACCUAGCUCAUGAUGCCACUUGGGGAACGUCGCAUGGGAAACAAAAAAAAUUCCUACGCGCACGAAGACCUAUCAUGGUGAUGUCCAUCUACGAGAGGGGAUUUCCGAUCUAUGUACCCUUGUAGAUCACACAGCAGAAGCGUUAGUGAACGCGGUUGAUGUAGUGGAACGUCCUCACGUCCCUCGAUCCGCCCCGCGAACUGUCCCACGAACCAUCCCGCGAUCCGUACCACGAUCCGCUCCGAUCUAGUGCCGAACGGACGGCACCUCCGCGUUCAGCACACGUACAGCUCGACGAUGAUCUCGGCCUUCUUGAUCCAGCAAGAGAGAUGGAGAGGUAGAUGAAUUCUCCUGCAGCGUGACGGUGCUCCGGAGGUUGGUGGUGAUCUAAUCUCGGCAGGGCUCUGCCCGAGCUCCGCAGAAACGCGAUCUAGAGGAAAAACCGUGGAGGUAUGUGGUCGGGCUGCUGUGGCAAAAGUUGUCUCAAAUCAGCCCUAAUACCUCAGUAUAUAUAGGAGGGAGGGGGAGGGAAGAGGCAGCCUCAAACCCUCAAGGUUUGGCCGAAAUUGGAGGUGGAGGAGUCCUACUCCAAUCCUACUUGGAGUAGGAUUCCACCUUCCCACUUGGAAACUCUUUCCACCUUGUGUUUUUUCCUUCUCAAACCUUAUGGCCCUUAGUGGGAACUUAUUCCAGCCCACUAGGGGCUGGUUUAUCUCUUCCCAUAGCCCAUGAUAUCCCCUUGGGGCGUGACACCCCUCCCGAUGGUCCCCGGCACCCCUCCCGGCACUCCCGGUACACUACCGAUGAGCCCGAAACUUUUCCGGUGACCAAAACAGGACUUCCUAUAUAUCAAUCUUUACCUCCGGACCAUUCCGGAGCUCCUCGUGACGUCCUGGAUCUCAUCCGGGACUCCGAACAACAUUCGGUAACCAACCAUAUAACUCAAAUACGCAUAAAACAACGUAGAACCUUAAGUGUGCAGACCCUGCGGGUUCGAGAACUAUGUAGACAUGACCCAAGAGACUCCUCGGUCAAUAUCCAAUAGCGGGACCUGGAUGCCCAUAUUGGAUCCUACAUAUUCUACGAAUAUCUUAUCGUUUGAACCUCAGUGCCAAGGAUUCAUAUAAUGCCGUAUGUCAUUCCCUUUGUCCUUCGGUAUGUUACUUGCCCGAGAUUCGAUCGUCAGUAUCCGCAUACCUAUUUCAAUCUCGUUUAUCGGCAAGUCUCUUUACUCGUUCCGUAAUACAAGAUCCCGCAACUUACACUAAGUCACAUUGCUUGCAAGGCUUGUGUGUGAUGUUGUAUUACCGAGUGGGCCCCGAGAUACCUCUCCGUCACACGGAGUGACAAAUCCCAGUCUCGAUCCAUACUAACUCAACUAACACCUUCGGAGAUACCUGUAGAGCAUCUUUAUAGUCACCCAGUUACGUUGCGACGUUUGAUACACACAAAGCAUUCAUCCGGUGUCAGUGACUUAUAUGAUCUCAUGGUCAUAGGAACAAAUACUUGACACGCAGAAAACAGUAGCAACAAAAUGACACGAUCAACAUUCUACGUCUAUUAGUUUGGGUCUAGUCCAUCAAAUGAUUCUCCUAAUGAUGUGAUCUCGUUAUCAAGUGACAACACUUGCCUAUGGUCAGGAAACCUUGAGCAUCUUUGAUCAACGAGCUAGUCAACUAGAGGCUUACUAGGGACAGUGUUUUGUCUAUGUAUCCACACAUGCACUGUGUUUCUAAUCAAUACAAUUAUAGCAUGGAUAAUAAACGAUUAUCAUGAACAAAGAAAUAUAAUAAUAACUAAUUUAUUAUUGCCUCUAGGGCAUAUUUCCAACAGUCUCCCACUUGCACUAGAGUCAAUAAUCUAGUUCACAUCACCAUGUGAUUCCCUAGCCUCUUGGGAUCGUUGCCCCCUUCGGUGGACCCCCGGGGCCACCUCCGGUGGUCCCGGUGGUCCCGGUAAUUUACCGGUGACGCGCGAAACACUUCCGGCGUCCAAACCCAUCCAUCCUAUAUAUAAAUAUUUACCUCCGGACCAUUUCAGAGCUCCUCGUGACGUUCGGGAUCUCAUCCGGGACUCCAAACAACUUUCGGUAACCUGGUAUAUCAAUUCCCUAUAACCCUAGCGUCACCGAACCUUAAGUGUGUAGACCCUACGGGUUCGGGAGACAGACAGACAUGACCGAGACACCUCUCCGGCCAAUAACCAUCAGCGGGGUCUGGAUACCCAUGGUGUCUCCCACUUGCUCCACAAUGAUCUCAUUGGAUGAACCACGAUGUCAAGGAUUCAAUUAAUCCCCUAUACAAUUCCCUUUGUCUGUCGGUAUAGAACUUGCCCGAGAUUCGAUCGUCGGUAUACCAAUACCUUGUUCAAUCUCGUUACCGGUAAGUCUCUUUACUCGUUCCGUAGCACGUCAUUGUGUGACUAACUCCUUAGUCACAUUGAGCUCAUGAUGAUGUUCUACCGAGUGGGCCCAGAGAUACCUCUCCGUCACACGGAGUGACAAAUCCGGUCUCGAUUCGUACCAACCCAACAGACACUUUCAGAGAUGCCCGUAGUGCACCUUUAUAGUCACCCAGUUACGUUGUGACGUUUGAUACACCCAAAGCACUCCUGCGGUAUCCGGGAGUUGCACAAUCUCACGGUCAAAGGAAAAGACACUUGACAUUAGAAAAGCUUUAGCAUACGAACAAUACGAUCUAGUGCUAUGCUUAGGAUUGGGUCUUGUCCAUCACAUCAUUCUCCCAAUGAUGUGAUCCUAUUAUCAAUGACAUCCAAUGCCCAUGAUCAGGAAACCAUGAUCAUCUAUUGACUAAUGAGCUAGCCAACUAGAGGCUUGCUAGGGACAUAUUCUGAUCUAUUUAUUCACACAUGUAUUACUGUUUCCUAUUAAUACAAUUAUAGCAUGAAAAAUAGACGAUUAUCAUGAACAAGGAAAUAUGAUAAUAACCAUUUUAUUAUUGCCUCUAGGGUAUAUUUCCAACAGUCUCCCACUUGCACUAGAGUCAAUAAUCUAGUUACAUUGUGAUGUAUCGAACACCCAUAGCAUUAUGGUGUUGAUCAUGUUUUGCUCGUGGAAGAGGUUUAGUCAACGAGUCUGCAAUAUUCAGAUCCGUGUGUACUUUACAAAUAUCUAUUAUUCCACUCUGGACAUGGUCCUGGAUGGAGUUGUAGCGCCGUUUGAUGUGCUUCGUCUUUCGGUGAAACCUGGGCUCCUUGGCUAUGGCAAUGGCCCCAGUGUUAUCACAGAAGAGUGUCAUCGGACCUGACGUGCUUGGAACCACUCCAAGGUCGGUGAUGAGCUCCUUCAUCAAAAUUCCUUCAUGAGCCGCUUCUGAAGCAGCUAUGUACUCCGCUUCACAUGUAGAUGCUGCCACGACUUCUUGCUUGCUGCUCCACCAGCUCACCGCCCCACCAUUCAACACAUAUACGUAUCCGGUCUGUGACUUAGAGUCAUCCGGAUCUGUGUCGAAGCUAGCAUCGACGUAACCCUUUACGACGAGCUCUUCAUCACCUCCAUAAACAAGAAACAUUUUCUUAGUCCUUUUCAGGUACUUAAGGAUAUUCUUGACCGUUGUCCAGUGUUCCAUACCUGGAUCACUUUGGUACCUCCCUACCAAACUUAUGGCAAGGUUUAUAUCAGGUCUGGUACACAGCAUGACAUACAUUAGAGAGCCCACGGCUGAAGCGUGGGGGACAGAACUCAUCUUCUCUCUAUCUGCUGCCGUGGUCGGCGACUGAGUCUUACUCAAUCUCAUACCUUGCAAAACUGGCAAGAACCCUUUCUUUCAGUUUUCCAUAUUGAACUUCUUCAAUAUCAGUUUUCCAUAUUGAACGUCUUGAUCUAUCUCUAUAGAUCUUGAUGCCUAAUAUGUAUGCAACUUCUCCAAGGUCCUUCAUUGAAAAACUCUUGUUCAAAUAGGCCUUUAUGCUCUCCAACAUCUCUAUAUUAUUCCCAUCAAUAAUAUGGCAUCCACAUACAGUAUGAGGAAAGCUACAGAGCUCCCACUCACUUUCUUGUACAGACAGGCUUCUUCGUAAACCUGUAUGAACCCAAACGCUUUAAUCACCUCAUUAAAGCGAAUGUUCCAAGUCCGAGAUGCUUGCACCAGCCCAUAGAUGGAGCGCUGGAGCUUGCACACUUUGUUAGCACCCUUAGGGUCGACAAAACCUUCUGGUUGCAUCAUAUACAACUCUUCCUUAAGGUUCCCGUUAAGGAACGUUGUUUUGGCGUCCAUUUGCCAAAUUUCAUAAUCAUAAAAGGCAGCAAUUGCUAACAUGAUUCGGACUGAUUUCAGCUUCGCUACGGGAUAGAAAGUCUCUUCGUAGUCAACUCCUUGAAUUUGUCGAAAACCCUUUGCGACAAGUCGAGCUUUGUAAACGGUUACAUUACCGUUUGGAUCAGUCUUCUUCUUGAAGAUCCAUUUAUUUUCUAUGGCUCACCGGUCAUCGGGCAAGUCCAUCAAAGUCCAUACUUUGUUCUCAUACAUGGAUCCUAUCUCGGAUUUCAUAGCCUCAAGCCAUUUGUUGGAAUCCGGGGCCGCCAUCGCUUCUUCAUAGUUCGAAGGUUCACCGUUGUCUGACAACAUGAUUUCCAUCAAAGGGUUGUCGUACCACUCUGGUGCGGAGCGUGCCCUCGUGAACCUUCGCGGUUCAGUAGUAACUUGAUCCGAAGCUUCAUGAUCAUCAUCAUUAACUUCCUCUAUAGUUGGUGUAGGCGCCACAGGAACAACUUCCCGCGUUGCGCUACUAUCCUGUUCGAGAGGGGGUGUAAUUACCUCAUCAAGUUCUACCUUCCUCCCACUUACUUCUUUCGAGAGAAACUCUUUCUCUAGAAAGGAUCCGUUCUUGGCAACAAAGGUUUUACCUUCGGAUCUAAGAUAGAAGGUAUACCCAAUAGUUUCCUUAGGGUAUCCUAUGAAUACGUAUUUCUUCGCUUUGGGUUCGAGCUUUUCUGGUUGAAGCUUCUUUACAUAAGCAUCGCAGCCCCAAACUUUACGAAACAACAACUUAGGUUUCUUGCCAAAUCAUAGUUCAUACGGUGUCGUCUCAACGGAUUUAGACGGUGCCCUAUUUAGAGUGAAUGCUGCAGUUUCUAGUGCAUAUCCCCAAAAUGAUAGCAGUACGUCGGUAAGAGACAUCAUAGAUUGUACCAUAUCUAAUAAAGUGCGAUUACGACGUUCAUACACUCCGUUGCGUUGCGGUGUGCCACGCGGCGUCAGUUGUGAAACGAUUCCACACUUCCUUAGGUGUGUGCCAAACUCGUGACUCAAAUAUUCUCCUCCAUGAUCAGAUCGUAGACAUUUAAUUUUUCUGUCACGUUGAUUCUCAACCUCACUCUGAAAUUCCUUGAACUUUUCAAAUGUCUCAGAUUUGUGCUUCAUCAAGUAGAUAUACCCAUACCUACUCAAAUCAUCGGUGAGAGUGAGAACAUAACGUUAGCCACCGCGAGCUUGAACGUUCAUUGGACCACACACAUCAGUAUGUAUUAUUUCCAAUAAGUCGGUUGCUCUCUCCAUUAUUCCUGAGAAUGGAGUCUUAGUCAUCUUGCCCAUGAGGCACGGUUCGCAUGUGUCAAAUGAUUCAAAAUCAAGAGACUCUAAUAGUCCAUCCGUAUGGAGCUUCUUCAUGCCCUUAACGCUGAUAUAACCAAGACGGCAGUGCCACAAGUAUGUGGGACUAUCAUUAUCAACUUUACAUCUUUUGGUACUCACACUAUGAAUAUGCGUAACAUCACAAUCGAGAGUCAUCAAGAAUAAACCAUUCACCAGCGGAGCAUGACCAUAAAACAUAUCACUCAUAUAAAUAGAACAACCAUUAUUCUCUGACUUAAAUGAGUAGCCGUCUCGCAUUAAGAAAGACCCUGAUACAAUGUUCAUGCUUAAAGCUGGUACUAAAUAACAAUUAUUAAGGUUUAAAACUAAUCCCGACGGUAGAUGUAGAGGUAACGUGCCGACGGCGAUCACAUCGACCUUGGAACCAUUCCCUGUUGGAAAUAUGCCCUAGAGACAAUAAUAAAAUGGUUAUUAUCAUAUUUCCUUGUUCAUGAUAAUCGUCUAUUGUUCAUGCUAUAAUUGUAUUAACAGGAAACAGUAAUACAUGUGUGAAUAAAUAGAUCACAAAGUGUCCCUAGCAAGCCUCUAGUUGGCUAGCUCGUUAGUCAAUAGAUGAUCAUGGUUUCCUGAUCAUGGGCAUUAGAUGUCAUUGAUAACGAGAUCACAUCAUUAGGAGAAUGAUGUGAUGGACAAGACCCAAUCCUAAGCAUAGCACUAGAUCGUAUUGUUCGUAUGCUAAAGCUUUUCUAAUGUCAAGUAUCUUUUCCUUCGACCGCGAGAUCGUGCAACUCCCGGAUACCGUAGGAGUGCUUUGGGUGUAUCAAACGUCACAACCUAACUGGGUGACUAUAAAGGUGCACUACGGGUACCUCCGAAAGUGUCUGUUGGGUUGGUACGAAUCGAGAUCGGGAUUUGUCACUCCGUGUGACGGAGAGUUAUCUCUGGGCCCACUCGGUAGAACAUCAUCAUGAGCUCAAUGUGACUAAGGAGUUAGUCACACGAUGACGUGCUACGGAACGAGUAAAGAGACUUACCGAUAACGAGAUUGAACAAGGUAUUAGUAUACCGGCGAUCGAAUCUCGGGCAAGUUCUAUACCGACAGACAAAGGGAAUUGUAUACGGGAUUGAUUGAAUCCUUGACAUCGUGGUUCAUCUGAAGAGAUCAUCGUGGAGCAAGUGGGAGCCACCAUGGGUAUCCAGACCCCGCUGAUGGUUAUUGGCCAGAGAGGUGUCUCGGUCAUGUCUACCUGUCUCCCGAACCCGUAGGGUCUACACACUUAAGGUUCGGUGACGCUAGGGUUAUAGGGAAUUGUUAUACGAGGUUACCAAAAGUUGUUCGGAGUCCCGGAUGAGAUACCGGACAUCGUGAGGAGCUCUGGAAUGGUCCGGAGGUAAAGAUUGAUAUAUAGGACGGAUGGUUUCGGACACCGGAAGUGUUUCGGGCAUCACUGGUAACGUACCGGGACCACCGGGACUACCGGAGGUGGCCCUGGGGGUCCACCUAAGGGGGCAACGACCCCGGGAGGUAAGAUGGGCCAAGUGGGGGAGGGAACCAGCCCCUAGGUGGGCUGGUGCGCCUCCCCACUCAGCCCAACGCGCAGGGGAGAGAAAAGGGGGGCAAACCCUAAGCCAGGUGGGCCUAAGGCUCACUAGUGGUGCGCCACACCCCUCCUCCCCCCUUGGCCACCGCACCAGCCCCCAUCUAGGGCUGCCGCCCCCCCCCCCCCAGGAGGGGGAAACCCUGAAGGGGGCGCAGCCCUGUCAUGCCCAAGAUGCGGCCCUAUCCUCAAUUUGGCACGAAGGCCUCGUUAGGGAUAGAAGCGCAUCUCGUCGUGUCGCAAGAAUGGAUAUCGUUACAAGUACAUGUACUGAAAAGAAGAUAUAUAUAUAUNNNNNNNNNNNNNNNNNNNNNNNNNNNNNNNNNNNNNNNNNNNNNNNNNNNNNNNNNNNNNNNNNNNNNNNNNNNNNNNNNNNNNNNNNNNNNNNNNNNNACAUGCUACGUCUAUUAGUUUGGGUCUAGUCCAUCACAUAAUUCUCCUAAUGAUGUGAUCCCGUUAUCAAGUGACAACACUUGCCUAUGGCCAGGAAACCUUGACCAUCUUUGAUCAACGAGCUAGUCAACUAGAGGCUUACUAGGGACAGUUUUUUGUCUAUGUAUCCACACAAGUAUUGUGUUUCCAAUCAAUACAAUUAUAGCAUGGAUAAUAAACGAUUAUCAUGAACUAAGAAAUAUAAUAAUAACUAAUUUAUUAUUGCCUCUAGGGCAUAUUUCCAACAGUACUAGCUCCUCUGUGAAAGGAUCUUCCUUCACCGAGGGGAGGUGUAGGUGCUCGAGGCAGACAUCACUCGGGACCGGUCUCUGAGUGGAUCCAACUUUUGCCAAUUCAUCUGCUGCUUGGUUUUUCAGUCGGGGAACUCGGUGAAGUUCCAGACCUUCAAACUUCUUCUCGAGCUUCCUUACUGCGUUGCAGUAUGCAGUCAUGGUGGGGUUCUUUACGUCCCAUUCCUUCAUUACUUGAUUAACCACCAGAUCUGAGUCGCCAUAGACCAUCAGGCGACGGACGCCGAGUGUGAUGGCCAUGCGCAAUCCGUAAAGGAGAGCUUCGUACUCUGCUUCAUUGUUGGAAGAAUCAAAAUGUAUCUGCAACACAUACUUGAGAUUAUCACCUUUGGGGAUAUGAUCACUACGCCGGCGCCGGAGCCAUUCAACAUCUUGGACCCAUCGAAGAACAUGGUCCAAUGGGCCGAGUAGAUGUGAGUCGGUUGCUGUUGUUCUACCCACUCUGCUAUGAAGUCAGCCAGAGCUUGAGACUUUAUAGCUUUCUUGGCUUCGAACUUGAUAUCGCAGUAUAGCAUCUCCAUUGCCCACUUUGCCACUCGGCCUGAUGCGUCCCGAUUGUGGAGAAUUUCCGACAACGGAGCAUCAGAUAUGACAGACACCGAGUGGUCUUGGAAAUAAUGAGCCACCUUCUUUGCAGUCAUGUAGAUCUCAUAGAUAAGCUUCUGAUAAUGGGGAUACCUCUGCUUGGAAGGAGUCAGGACUUCGGAGACAUAAUAUACUGGCCGCUGAACCUUGUACGCUUUGCCUUCUUCUUCGCGUUCGACUGUCAGAACGGUGCUGACGACUUGAUUUGUAGCCGCGAUGUACAGAAGAAGGGGUUCUUUACUGAGCGGGGCAGUAAGAACCGGUUGGGUGGAAAGCAGGGCUUUGAGGUCGUCAAAUGCAAUUUGGGCUUCGUCUGUCCACUCGAAGGUAUCUGAUUUCUUCAUGAGUCGGUACAGAGGUAACGCCUUCUCACCGAGUCGAGCGAUAAACCUGCUCAAAGCCGCUAGGCAACCUGUGAGCCUUUGAACAUCAUGUAUUCUUACCGGCCGCUCCAUUCGGACGAUGGUCCCGAUCUUUUCGGGGUUGACAUCGAUCCCUCGUUCGGAAACGAAGAAACCGAGUAACUUCCCGCUGGGAACGCCGAAUGAACACUUGGCUGGGUUGAGCUUGAUAUCGUACCUACGUAGGUUGGCGAAUGUUUCUGCCAAGUCAGUCAGCAGAUCGGAACCUUUGCGUGACUUGAUUACGAUAUCAUACAUAUAUGCCUCCACAUUUCGACCGAUCUGGUCAAGGAGGUAUUUUUUGGAUCAUGCGCAUAAAAGUUGCUCUUGCAUUCUUCAAAUCGAAUGGCAUAGUGAUGUAACAGAAACACCCGAAUGGGGUGAUGAAGGCUGUUUUUAAUUCAUCCGGACCAUACAGACGGAUCUGAUGAUAGUCCGAAUAGGCAUCAAGGAAGGAUACACGCUCGCAACCCGUAGUCGAAUCAACAAUUUGAUCGAUGCGGGGGAGCGGGAAGUGAUCUUUCGGACAGACCUUAUUGAGAUGCUUGAAAUCGAUGCACAUACGGAGAGACUUGUCCUUCUUGGGCACCAUGACAACAUUAGCGAGCCACUCGGAGUGGUGUACCUCGCGAAUGAAUUUGGCUGCCAAAAGUUUAGCCACCUCCUCUCCGAUUGCCUUCCUCUUGUGCGCGGCGGACUGACGCAGGCGUUCUCGGAUGGGCCGAGCAGCAGGAUCCACAUGCAGUCGGUGCUCAGCCAACUCCCUGGGUACACCUGGCAUGUUAGCGGUUUUCCAUGCAAAAAUGUCCCAGUUCUCAUGGAGGAAUUGGAUGAGCUCGGCUUCCUAUUUUGGAUCAAGGGUGGUGGAGAUGUUUGUCGGGGCAGCGGCGUCGUCCGUCGGGUAGAUGCUGACCUUCUUCGUGUCUCCCACCGACUGGAAUGCGCACUCGAAAGCUGGCUUCUUUGAACGCAUCAGGUCAGCGGGGUCGGCGGUCUUCUUGUACUCAUCCAGCUCGAGAAUAGCCAUCUGAUGAUCGGCAAUCCUCGACCCCUGCUGCAGACACUCCUCGGUGCGCUGCCGAUUGCCUGUGACCGUAAUCACACCUUUGGGACCUGACAUCUUCAACUUCAAAUAGACGUAACAUGGACGGGCCAUGAAACGCGCAUAUGCUGGGCGGCCUAGAAUCGCAUGGUAUGCACUCUGGAAGUCCACCACCUCGAAUGUGAGCUUCUCCUUACGGAAGUUCUUGUAAGAGCCGAAGACGACAUCCAACGCGAUCUGGCCGAGUGACUUGGCCUUUCGUCCUGGGACGACUCCGUGGAACUGCAUACUGCUCUCGCUAAGUUUGGACAUCAGAAUGCCCAUCCCCUUAAGAGUGUCGGCGUACAUGAUGUUCAAGCCGCUGCCGCCGUCCAUGAGGACUUUGCACAGCCUGACUCCUUCCACCACCGGGUCGACGACCAGAGCUUGCCUCCCUGGGGUGGGUACGUGUGCUGGGUGGUCCGACUGAUCAAAGGUCAUCGCAGUCUGUGACAACUUGAGGAACGUGGGGGUGGUUGGGGUUGCCAUGUUCACCUCCCUGUUAACCAGCUUCAGUCGACUCUUGCUUUCCACAUCAGCAAAAAUCAUCAGCGUUGCAUGGACUUGGGGGAACGGAUCCUCCUUGUCCUCAUCAUCCUGCUCGGUGUCCUUUUCACUCGGCUGACCUUCACCGAAUCCUUGGAUCAGGAGGCGACACUGCCGAGUGGUAUGCUUCUGGAAUAUGGCGUUGCCUUCUUCGUCCAUCUUCGUGUGGAUUGGACACGGUUGAUCCAGGAUGGAAUUUCCUGACUGCUUCUUCUUGUUGGGGAACGUCGCAUGGGAAGCAAAAAAUUUCCUACACGCACGAAGACCUAUCAUGGUGAUGUCCAUCUACGAGAGGGGAUGAGUGAUCUACGUACCCUUGUAGACCGUACAGCAGAAGCGUUAGUGAACGCGGUUGAUGUAGUGGAACGUCCUCACGUCCCUCGAUCCGCCCCGCGAACAAUCCCGCGAUCAGUCCCACGAUCUAGUACCGAACGGACGGCACCUCCGCGUUCAGCACACGUACAGCUCGACGAUGAUCUCGGCCUUCUUGAUCCAGCAAGAGAGACGGAGAGGUAGAAGAGUUCUUCGGCAGCGUGACGGCUCUCCGGAGGUUGGUGAUGACCUUGUCUCAGCAGGGCUCUGCCCGAGCUCCGCAGAAACGCGAUCUAGAGGAAAAACCGUGGAGGUAUGUGGUCGGGCUGCCGUGGAAAAGUCGUCUCAAAUCAGCCCUAAAGCCUCCGUAUAUAUAGGUGGGAGAGGGGGGGCCUUGCCUUGGGGCUCAAGGAGCCCCAAGAGGGUCGGCCGAGCCAAGGGGGGAAGGUCUCCGCCCCAAACCGAGUUGGACUUGGUUUGGUGGGUGGGAGUCCUUCCUUCCCUUCCCACCUCCUCCUUUUUUUUCUUUCUCUUUGAUUUUUCUUCCAAUGCGCAUAGGGCCCUUUUGGGCUGUCCCACCAGCCCACUAAGGGCUGGUGCGCCACCCUCAAGGCCUAUGGGCUUCCCCGGGGUGGGUUGCCCCCCCCGGUGAACUCCCGGAACCCAUUCGUCAUUCCCGAUGCAUUCCCGGUAACUCCAAAAACCUUCCGGUAAUCAAAUGAGGUCAUCCUAUAUAUCAAUCUUUGUUUCCGGACCAUUCCGGAAACCCUCGUGACGUCCGUGAUCUCAUCCGGGACUCCGAACAACAUUCGGUAACCAACCAUAUAACUCAAAUACGCAUAAAACAACGUCGAACCUUAAGUGUGCAGACCCUGCGGGUUCGAGAACUAUGUAGACAUGACCCGAGAGACUCGUCGCUCAAUAUCCAAUAGCGGGACCUGGAUGCCCAUAUGGGAUCCUACAUAUUCUACGAAGAUCUUAUCGUUUGAACCUCAGUGUCAAGGAUUCAUAUAAUCCCGUAUGUCAUUCCCUUUGUCCUUCGGUAUGUUACUUGCCCGAGAUUCGAUCGUUAGUAUCCGCAUACCUAUUUCAAUCUCGUUUACCGGAAAGUCUCUUUACUCGUUCCGUAAUACAAGAUCCCGCAACUUACACUAAGUUACAUUGCUUGCAAGGCUUGUUAGUGAUGUUGUAUUACCGAGUGGCCCCCGAGAUACCUCUCCGUCACACGGAGUGACAAAUCCCAGUCUUGAUCCAUACUAACUCAACGAACACCUUCGGAGAUACCAGUAGAGCAUCUUUAUAGUCACCCAGUUAUGUUGUGACGUUUGAUACACACAAAGUAUUCCUCCGGUGUUAGUGAGUUAUAUGAUCUCAUGGUCAUAGGAACAAAUACUUGACACGCAGAAAACAGUAGCAACAAAAUGACACGAUCAACAUGCUACGUCUAUUAGUUUGGGUCUAGUCCAUCACGUGAUUCUCCUAAUGACGUGAUCCAGUUGUCAAGCAACAACACCUUGUUCAUAAUCAGAAGACACUGACUAUCUUUGAUCAACUGGCUAGCCAACUAGAGGCUUGCUAGGGACAGUGUUUUGUCUAUGUAUCCACACAUGUAAAUGAGUCUUCAUUCAAUACAAUUAUAGCAUGGAUAAUAAACGAUUGUCUUGAUACAGGAAUUAUAAUUAUAACUAUAUUUAUUAUUGCCUCUAGGGCAUAAUUCCAACAGUCUCCCACUUGCACUAGAGUCAAUAAUCUAGCCCUCACAUCAUCAUGCGAAUUACAUUGUAAUAAAUCUAAUACCCAUACAGUUCUGGUGUUGGUCAUGCUUUGGCCGUGGAAGAGGUUUAGUCAGCGGGUCUGCUACAUUCAGAUCCGUGUGCACUUUGCAUAUAUUUACGUCCUCCCCUUCGACGUAGUCGCAGAUGAGGUUGAAGCGUCGUUUGAUGUGUCUGGACUUCUUGUGAAACCGUGGUUCCUUAGCUAAGGCAAUGGCAUCCGUGUUGUCACAGAACAAGGUUAUUGGAUUCAGUGCGCUUGGCACCACUCCAAGAUCCGUCAUGAAUUGCUUCAUCCAGACACCCUCCUUAGCCGCCUCCGAGGCAGCCAUGUACUCCGCUUCACAUGUAGAAUCUGCUACGACGCUUUUCUUGGAACUGCACCAGCUUACCGCACCCCCAUUAAGAAUAAAUACGUAUCCGGUUUGCGACUUAGAGUCGUCCGGAUCUGUGUCAAAGAUUGCAUCGACGUAACCUUUUACGGCGAGCUCUUCGUCACCUCCAUACACGAGAAACAUCUCCUUAGUCCUUUUCAGGUACUUCAGGAUAUUCUUGACCGCUGUCCAGUGAUCCACUCCUGGAUUACUCUGGAACCUACCUGCCAUACUUAUGGCCAGGCUAACGUCCGGUCUAGUGCACAGCAUUGCAUACAUGAUAGAGCCUAUGGCUGAAGCAUAGGGGACGGAGCGCAUAUGCUCUCUAUCCUCAUCAGUUGCUGGGCACUGGGUCUUACUCAAUCUCGUACCUUGUAAAACUGGCAAGAACCCCUUCUUGGACUGUUCCAUUUUGAACCUCUUCAAAACUUUAUCAAGGUAUGUGCUUUGUGAAAGUCCUAUCAGGCGUUUUGAUCUAUCCCUAUAGGAUAGAGCUUAAUGCCUAGAAUGUAAGCAGCUUCUCCUAGGUCCUUCAUAGAGAAACUUUUAUUCAAGUAAUCCUUUAUGCUCUCCAAAAACUCUACGUUGUUUCCAAUCAGCAAUAUGUCAUCCACAUAUAAUAUUAGAAACGCCACAGAGCUCCCACUCACUUUCUUGUAAAUACAAGAUUCUCCAACCACUUGUAUAAACCCAAAUGCUUUGAUCACCUCAUCAAAGCGUUUGUUCCAACUCCGAGAUGAUUGCACCAGUCCAUAAAUGGAUCGCUGGAGCUUGCACACCUUGUUAGCAUUCUUAGGAUCGACAAAACCUUCGGGUUGCAUCAUAUACAAUUCUUCCUUUAGGAAACCGUUAAGGAACGCCGUUUUGACAUCCAUCUGCCAGAUUUCAUAAUCGAAAAAUGCAGCUAUUGCUAACAUGAUUCUGACGGACUUAAGCAUCGCUACGGGUGAGAAUGUAUCAUCGUAGUCAACUCCUUGAACUUGUGAAAAACCCUUUGCCACAAGUCAAGCUUUAUAAACGGUCACAUUGUCGUCAGCGUCCGUCUUCCUCUUAAAGUCCACACUUUGUUCUCAUACAUGGAUCCUACCUCGGACUUCAUGGCUUCUAGCCAUUUGUUGGAAUCUUGGCCCACUGUCGUGGGUAUAAGCCUGACAGUAGAUGUGUAGGGUACGAAUGAGAUGGGCAGAGUCCUAGCUAGGGCGAGGUUGUAUGAGUUCAGGCCCCUCUGCGGUGGAGGUAACAGCCCUACGUCUCAGUGCUCUCGGAGCUUGUUACCGAGUGUGAUAUGGAGUACAAAGAUUUGCUAACCCUUUUACCAGUGGGGGAGGGCGGCUUAUAUAGAGUUCGCUGCCCUCCACAACGGUUCUGAUUCAAGGGUGGAGUAGUGGCGAUUGAAUGCAUACGUUACAGGUAACGUAUGCUCUAAAUGCUAGUAAAUGCACCCGAAAACGUACAGCAGUUUCUCUCCACAGAGGAUACGACGCACCGAAUGUAUCCAGUCGGUAGGCCCGGUGCUCUCCGAAUGUUAGUCUCCGACUGGAUGAUUCUGGGCCAGUUACCGACUGGAUGAUGGGGGUACCUUAAUACAGUCGGGGCAUACUCAAGGUCCUGUCCCUUGUGUGGGGUAGUCUUUGGGUAGGACAUGUAGGGCAGGCCUAUGACCCUACCCUAGGACUAUGACCCCAUCAUUAGUCCCCGAAUGGAUUGGGGUUGAAACGUCGAAGCGGUGCUCGAGGUUCAGAUCCGACUGGACUAGGUUCGGCUUGGGCGUUGCUUGCCUCUAUCCAUUUUAUCUCCCCUGACUAAUAAUCCGAGUGGAGGUGUUUAUUAUUUGGCUUGUCAGGGGCGAUCUGCCUGGACGAGAGUGACCAGGGGAGAGCUGACCCCGUCGUGGAACCUGCCCAAGAGCCUGUCCUGGAGCCUGUCCUUGAGGCCGCUCUUNNNNNNNNNNNNNNNNNNNNNNNNNNNNNNNNNNNNNNNNNGCUCUUCCUGCUGCCGCCCCCGCCGCCAACUUUGUUCUCAUACUUUGAACUUGGCGGUGGUCACAACUGCAGCUUCUGCCUGCGGUGUGGGUGGAACUUUCGGUUUCUGCUUCCGAGUAUUACCUCCGUCGGCAUCGCCGACUGUGUUGUGUUUGCCGCUCCGGAUGCGGUCUUCUUCCUUGCCAUUUGCAUAGCGAGCAGCUAUCUCCAUCAUCUUGCUCAUGGAGAUGUCGCCUGUCCGGCCGAACUUUAAGUACAACUCUCUGUACCGCACGCCUGCCUUGAAUGCGCAGACCGCUUGAUGCUCGGUGACACUCUCCACCGUGUGGUAAAGAGUCGUCCAUCGCUGGAUGAAGUCGCGCAAGGGCUCAUUCGGCUUCUGGACACAGUGUUGAAGCUCCACAAGGCCUGCAGGGCGUCUGCACGUCCCUUCGAAGGUCCUGAUGAACACUCGGGCAAGAUCUUCCCAACUGUAAAUGCUUGAGGGGGCUAACUGGUUCAGCCAAGCUCGCACCGAGCCGUCGAGCAUCAGAGGGAGGUGCUUCAUAGCGACAUAAUCGUCCCCUCCUCCGAUCUGGACUGCCACUCGGUAGUCGUCUAGCCAUGUUUCAGGCUUGGUUUCCCCCGUAAAUUUGCCGAUUCCCGCUGCCAUUCGGAAGUUGGGCGGGAUGUCAGCCGAGCGGAUGGCUCGACUAAAACACUCGGGGCCGGACACGAUGGUCCUGCCGCCACUUGGACGAUCCAGAUCGUGGCCAUCGCGGUGGGCUCGACCCCUGUCGACUCUUCGUUGGGCGAUUCGCCCUCUUGCGUCGGGUCUCGGGUCGUAAGUGUCGCCAACUGAACGCCGAUCAUCGUGAUGUCGGGACCCAUAGGGCCCACCCCGCGGAGGGGUGCGUGAACGGCGGCGAUCUUCACGGAUCAUGGAACGACUGCCUCCCCUGUGGUGCUGAUAGGAGCCCGGGCUGUGAACCGACCGAUGCGUGUUUGCAUGGGCGGAACUGUUGUGGAUCCGAUUGUGUGACUGUGAGACCGCCGAAUUCUGCUGCUGCGUCGUGUGCAACAGAGCACGGAUCUGCUCGAUUCCUCUUCUUGCCUCUGAAUCAGUCGGCUGGAGGGAAUCGGCGAUCUUGGCUGCCGCAGCCAAGUUGAGGAGAGGUGUGCGGAACAACUCUACGUUGCUCUGCCGGGUGUGCCGACUGGCAGAACGGCGUGCACCGGAUGCUUCACCGACUUCGCGCUCGUUUCGGCCGGCCUGAUGGGGAUCUUCAUGGGUGUUGGCCAUGUGAACUUCUGCUGCAGGCCCGCGGCCCACGUACUCGGAAGGGAGCUCAGUCGGAACCGAGCCCGAGCACUGGGGACGCGGGGCAACCACAACAGACUCCAGAACCGCCACUUGAGAGGACGCGAAGUGGCGUGCUCGGGCAUGCUGCACCCAACGUUGUAGAUGCGGACUACGAGAUCGCCUGCUGCGGCGCGUGACGAAGGUGCAAGCCGGCAAUGGAGCCGAUUGUUGGAGAAGAAGAACGCCGCGAGCGCCGGCAUGGAAGUGCGUGGCCCCGCGACGGGGAAGCGCCUCGAUGUCGAGAGGUGCAUCCCGAAGCCAUGCCGAAUCGUCGACGACGAAGGAAAGAGCGCCGAAGAGGAUCUGGUGACCCAUGCUCGAACCUCCACCGGAUGACAUGACGAAAGGAAGUAGUCGCAAACUCGCCGGAAGUCGCUUAGACGCCUGCCCCACGGUGGGCGCCAACUGUCGUGGGUAUAAGCCUGACAGUAGAUGUGUAGGGUACGAAUGAGAUGGGCAGAGUCCUAGCUACGGCGAGGUUGUAUGAGUUCAGGCCCCUCUGCGGUGGAGGUAACAGCCCUACGUCUCAGUGCUCUCGGAGCUUGUUAUCGAGUGUGAUAUGGAGUACAAAGAUUUGCUAACCCUUUUACCAGUGGGGGAGGGCGGCUUAUAUAGAGUUCGCUGCCCUCCACAACGGUUCUGAUUCAAGGGUGGAGUAGUGGCGAUUGAAUGCAUACGUUACAGGUAACGUAUGCUCUAAAUGCUAGUAAAUGCACCCGGAAACGUACAACAGUUUCUCUCCACAGAGGAUACGACGCACCGUGUAUCCAGUCGGUAGGCCCGGUGCUCUCCGAAUGUUAGUCUCCGACUGGAUGAUUCUGGGCCAGUUACCGACUGUAUGAUGGGGGUACCUUAAUACAGUCGGGGCAUACUCAAGGUCCUGUCCCUUGUGUGGGGUAGUCUUUGGGUAGGACAUGUAGGGCAGGCCUAUGACCCUACCCUAGGACUAUGACCCCAUCACCCACCAUUGCUUCUUCAUAAUUUGCAGGUUCAUUGUUGUCCAACAACAUGAUUGAUAAGACGGGAUUACCGUACCAGUCUGGAGCAGCACGUGGUCUCGUCGACCUGUGUGGUUCGACAGAAACUUGAACCGGAGUUUCAUGAUCAUCAUCAUUAACUUCCUCCUCAACCGGUGUUGCAACGACAGAGGUUUCCCCUUGCCCUGCGCCACCAUCCAGAGGGAUGAGAGGUUCGACAACCUCGUCAAGUUCUAUCUUCCUCCCACUCAAUUCUCUCGAGAGAAACUCCUUCUCGAGAAAAGCUCCGUUUUUAGAAACAAACACUUUGCCCUCGGAUUUGAGAUAGAAGGUGUACCCAACUGUCUCUUUUGGGUAACCUAUGAAGACGCACUUUUCCGCUUUGGGUUCCAGCUUUUCAGGCUGAAGCUUUUUGACAUAAGAAUCACAUCCCCAAACUUUAAGAAACGACAACUUUGGCCUUUUGCCAUACCACAGUUCGUAUGGUGUCGUCUCAACGGAUUUUUAUGGUGCCCUAUUUAAAGUGAAUGCAGCUGUUUCUAAUGCAUAACCCCAAAACGAUAACGGCAAAUCGGUAAGAGACAUCAUAGAUCGCACCAUCUCUAAUAAAGUACGAUUACGACGUUCGGACACACCAUUACGCUGUGGUGUUCCAGGCGGUUUCAACUGUGAAACAAUUCCACAUUGUCUUAAGUGAGCACCAAACUCGAAACUCAGAUAUUCACCCCCACGAUCAGACCGUAGGAACUUGAUCUUCUUGUUACGAUGAUUUUCAACUUCACUCUGAAAUUGCUUGAACUUUUCAAAUGUUUCAGACUUGUGCUUCAUCAAGUAGACAUAACCAUAUCUACUCAAAUCGUCUGUGAAGGUGAGAAAAUAACGAUAUCCGCCGCGUGCCUCCACGCUCAUCGGACCACACACAUCGGUAUGUAUGAUUUCCAACAAGUCACUUGCACGCUCCACUGUUCCGGAGAACGGAGUCUUAGUCAUCUUGCUCAUGAGGCAUGGUUCGCACGUGUCAAGUGAACCAAAGUCAAGUGACUCCAAAAGUCCAUCAGCAUGGAGUUUCUUCAUGCGCUUUACACCAAUAUGACCUAAGCGGCAGUGCCACAAAAAUAUGGCGCUAUCAUUAUUAACUCUAACUCUUUUGGUCUCAAUGUAUGUGUGUAUCGCUAUCAAGAUUCAAUAUGAACAAUCCUCUCACAUUGGGUGCAUGACCAUAAAAGAUGUUACUCAUACAAAUAGAACAACCAUUAUUCUCUGACUUAAAAGAGUAACCGUCUCGCAAUAAAUAAGAUCCAGAUAUAAUGUUCAUGCUCAACGCAGGCACUAAAUAACAAUGAUUUAAGUUCAUAACUAAUCCUGAUGGUAAUUGAAGUGAAACUGUGCCGACGGCGAUUGCAUCAGCCUUGGAACCAUUUUCUACGCGCAUCGUCACUUCAUCUUUCGCCAGCCUUCGUCUAUUCCGCAGUUCCUGUUUCGAGUUGCAAAUAUGAGCAACAGAACCGGUAUCGAAUACCCAGGCACUACUACCCAGGCAACAGAGCCGGUUAAGUACACAUCAAAAACAUGUAUAUCAAAUAUACCUGAUUUUUCUUUGGCCGCCUUCUUAUCUGCCAGAUACUUGGGGCAAUUGCGCUUCCAGUGACCCAUACCCUUGCAAUAGUAACACUCCGUUUCAGGCUUAGGUCCAGCUUUGGGUUUCUUCGUCGGAUUGGCAACAGGUUUGCCGCUCUUCUUUGAAUUACCCUUCUUGCCUUUUCCGUUUCUCUUGAAACUAGUGGUCUUAUUCACCAUCAAUACUUGAUGCUCUUUACGGAGUUCAGACUCUGCGACUUUUAGCAUCGCAAAUAACUCGCCGGGAGACUUGUUCAUCCCUUGCAUGAUGUAGUUCAACACAAAGCUUUUAUAGCUUGGCGGCAGUGAUUGAAGGAUUCUGUCAGUGAUAGCCUCUUGCGGGAGUUCAAUCCCCAGCUCAGCUAGACGGUUUGAGUACCCAGACAUUUUGAGCACAUGUUCACUGACAGACGAGUUUUCCUCCAUCUUGCAAGCAUAGAAUUUAUCGGAGGUCUCAUACCUCUCGAUCCGGGUGUUCUUCUGAAAGAUAAACUUCAACUCCUGGAACAUCUCAAAUGCUCCAUGACGCUCAAAGCGAUGUUGAAGUCCCGGUUCUAAGCCAUACAAGACUGCACAUUUAACUACUGAGUAGUCCUCCUUACGUGCUAACCAAGCGUUCUUAACAUCCUGAUCAGCCGUAGCGGGUGGUUCAUCUCCUAUCACAGCAUUAAGGACAUAAUCCUUCUUCCCAGCUUGUAAGAUUAGCUUAAAAUUACGAGCCCAGUCUACAAAGUUGCUUCCAUCAUUUUUCAACUUAGCUUUCUCUAGGAACGUAUUAAAAUUCAGGGUGACUGUCGCGUGAGCCAUGAUCUACAACACAAAUAUAUUCAAAGUUGACUUAGAAUAUGUUCAAGAUAAUUAGAGUUUAACUUAAUCAAAUUAUACGCUAAACUCCCACUCAAAAAGUACAUCUCUCUAGUCAUUUGAGUGGUUCAUGAUCCACUUACACUAGCUCAAGUCCGAUCAUCACGUGAGUUGAGUAUAGUUUCACUGGUAAGCAUCCCUAUGCUAAUCAUAUCAUCUAUAUGAUUCAUGAUCGACCUUUCGGUCUCAUGUGUUCCGAGGCCAUGUCUGCACAUGCUAGGCUCGUCAAGUUUAACCCGAGUGUUCCGCGUGCGCAACUGUUUUGCACCUGUUGUAUGUGAAUGUUGAGUCUAUCACACCCGAUCAUCAUGUGGUGUCUCGAAACGACAAACUGUAGCAACGGUGCACAGUCGGGGAGAACACAAUUUUGUCUUGAAAUUUUAGUGAGAGAUCACCUCAUAAUGCUACCGUCGUUCUAAGCAAAAUAAGGUGCAUAAAAGGAUUAACAUCACAUGCAAUUCAUAAGUGACAUGAUAUGGCCAUCAUCACGUGCUUCUUGAUCUCCAUCACCAAAGCACCGGCACGAUCUUCUUGUCACCGGCGCCACACCAUGAUCUCCAUCAACGUGUCGCCAUCGGGGUUGUCGUGCUACUCAUGCUAUUACUACUAAAGCUACAUCCUAGCAAAAUAGUGAACGCAUCUGCAAGCACAAACAUUAGUAUAAAGACAACCCUAUGGCUCCUGCCGGUUGCCGUACCAUCGACGUGCAAGUCGAUAUUAUCUAUUACAACAUGAUCAUCUCAUACAUCCAAUAUAUCACAUCACAUCGUUGGCCAUAUCACAUCACAAGCAUACCCUGCAAAAACAAGUUAGACGUCCUCUAAUUUUGUUGUUGCAUGUUUUACGUGGUGACCAUGGGUAUCUAGUAGGAUCGCAUCUUACUUACGCAAACACCACAACGGAGAUAUAUGAGUUGCUAUUUAACCUCAUCCAAGGACCUCCUAGGUCAAAUCCGAUUCAACUAAAGUUGGAGAAACCGACACUUGCCAGUCAUCUUUGAGCAACGGGAUUACUCGUAGGAUGAAACCAGUCUCUCGUAAGCGUACGAGUAAUGUCGGUCCAAGCCGCUUCAAUCCAACAAUACCGUGGAAUCAAGAAAAGACAAAAGAGGGCAGCAAAACGCACAUCACCGCCCACAAAAACUUUUGUGUUCUACUCGAGAAGACAUCUACGCAUGAACCUAGCUCAUGAUGCCACUGUUGGGGAACGUCGCAUGGGAAGCAAAAAUUUUCCUACGCGCACGAAGACCUAUCAUGGUGAUGUCCAUCUACGAGAGGGGAUGAGUGAUCUACGUACCCUUGUAGACCGUAUAGCAGAAGCGUUAGUGAACGCAGUUGAUGUAGUGGAACGUCCUCACGUCCCUCGAUCCGCCCCGCGAACAAUCCCGCGAUCAGUCCCACGAUCUAGUACCGAACGGACGGCACCUCCGCGUUCAGCACACGUACAGCUCGACGAUGAUCUCGGCCUUCUUGAUCCAGCAAGAGAGACCGAGAGGUAGAGGAGUUCUCCGGCAGCGUGACGGCGCUCCGGAGGUUGGUGAUGACCUUGUCUCAGCAGGGCUCCGCCCGAGCUCCGCAGAAACGCGAUCUAGAGGAAAAACAGUGGAGGUAUGUGGUCGGGCUGCCGUGGAAAAGUCGUCUCAAAUCAGCCCUAAAACCUCCGUAUAUAUAGGUGGGAGAGGGGGGGGCCUUGCCUUGGGGCUCAAGGAGCCCCAAGGGGGUCGGCCGAGCCAAGGGGGGAAGGUCUCCCCCCCAAACCGAGUUGGACUUGGUUUGGUGGGUGGGAGUCCUUCCUUCCCUUCCCACCUCCUCCUUUUUUUUCUUUCUCUUUGAUUUUUCUUCCAAUGUGCAUAGGGCCCUUUUGGGCUGUCCCACCAGCCCACUAAGGGCUGGUGCGCCACCCUCAAGGCCUAUGGGCUUCCCCGGGGUGGGUUGCCCCCCCCGGUGAACUCCCGGAACCCAUUCGUCAUUCCCGAUGCAUUCCCGGUAACUCCAAAAACCUUCCGGUAAUCAAAUGAGGUCAUCCUAUAUAUCAAUCUUUGUUUCCGGACCAUUCCGGAAACCCUCGUGACGUCCGUGAUCUCAUCCGGGACUCCGAACAACAUUCGGUAACCAACCAUAUAACUCAAAUACGCAUAAAACAACGUCGAACCUUAAGUGUGCAGACCCUGCGGGUUCGAGAACUAUGUAGACAUGACCCGAGAGACUCCUCGGUCAAUAUCCAAUAGCGGGACCUGGAUGCCCAUAUUGGAUCCUACAUAUUCUACGAAGAUCUUAUCAUUUGAACCUCAGUGUCAAGGAUUCAUAUAAUCCCGUAUGUCAUUCCCUUUGUCCUUCGGUAUGUUACUUGCCCGAGAUUCGAUCGUUAGUAUCCGCAUACCUAUUUCAAUCUCGUUUACCGGCAAGUCUAUUUACUCGUUCUGUAAUACAAGAUCCCGCAACUUACACUAAGUUAUAUUGCUUGCAAGGCUUGUGUGUGAUGUUAUAUUACCGAGUGGGCCCCGAGAUACCUCUCCGUCACACGGAGUGACAAAUCCCAGUCUUGAUCCAUACUAACUCAACGAACACCUUUGGAGAUACCUGUGGAGCAUCUUUAUAGUCAUCCAGUUACGUUGCGACGUUUGAUACACACAAAGUAUUCCUCCGGUGUUAGUGAGUUAUAUGAUCUCAUGGUCAUAGGAACAAUUACUUGACACGCAGAAAACAGUAGCAACAAAAUGACACGAUCAACAUGCUACGUCUAUUAGUUUGGGUCUAGUCCAUCACGUGAUUCUCCUAAUGACGUGAUCCAGUUAUCAAGCAAUAACACCUUGUUCAUAAUCAGAAGACACUGACUAUCUUUGAUCAAAUGGCUAGCCAACUAGAGGCUUGCGAGGGACAGUGUUUUGUCUAUGUAUCCACACAUGUAAAUGAGUCUUCAUUCAAUACAAUUAUAGCAUGGAUAAUAAACGAUUAUCUUGAUACAUGAAUUAUAAUAAUAACUAUAUUUAUUAUUGCCUCUAGGGCAUAAUUCCAACACUUCUUGGGGAUGUACUGAGCUUUCCCCUUGCCUUUGAACUUGGCAUUUGUAACAGCAGCUGCCUCUGCCUGCGGAGUGGAUUGAGCCUUCUGCUUCUGCUUCCGACUGUUGUUUCCAUCUCCAUCGGCGACUGACUUAUGCUUGCCGCUACGUAUGCGGUCCUCCUCUUCGCCAUUUGCAUAGCGUGCGGCUAUCUCCAUCAUCUUGCUCAUGGAGAUGUCGCCUGUCCGACCGAACUUCAGGUACAGAUCUCUGUACCGCACGCCUGCCUUGAAGGCGCAGACUGCUUGAUGCUCCGUGACGUUCUCCACCGUGUUGUAGAGAGUCGUCCAGCGCUGGAUGAAAUCGUGCACGGGCUCGUUCUGCUUCUGGACACAGUGCUGGAGCUCUACGAGACCAGCAGGGCGCUUGCACGUACCCUCGAAGGUCUUGAUGAAGACUCGGGAUAGAUCUGCCCAGCUGUAGAUGGUUGACGGAGCUAACUGGUUCAGCCACGCUCGCGCCGAGCCGUCGAGCAUCAAGGGGAGAUGUUUCAUGGCAACCUGGUCAUCUGCGCCACCGAUCUGGACCGCCACUCUGUAGUCGUCCAACCAAGUUUCUGGCUUGGACUCUCCUGUGAACUUGCUGAUUCCCGUCGUCAAUGGGAAGUUGGGAGGGAUGUCAGCUGAUCGGAUGGCCCGACUGAAGCACUCGGGACCAGACACGACGGUCCUGCUUCCACUCGGACGGUCUCUAUCGUGACCAUCACGGUGGGCUCGACUUCUGUCGACCUUCUUCUGGAUGAUGUACCCUCUUGCGUCGGGCCUUGGAUCAUGCGCGUCACCGACCGAACGACGAUCAUCGUGAUGCCGGGGCCCGUAAGGCCCACCCCGCGGAGGGGUGCGUGAACGGCGACGAUCUUCGGGAUUCCUGGAACGGCUGCCCCCUCUGCGUCGCUGAUGAGAGUCGGGGCUGAAAACCGACCGAUGCAUGUUCGCGUGAACAAAACUGUUGUGGAUCCUGUUGUGCGACUGGGAGACCGCCGAAUUUUGCUGCUGCGUCGUAUGCAACAGGGCACGGAUCUGCCCGAUCCCUCUACCAGCCUCUGAAUCAGUCGGCUGGAGAGAAUCAGCAAUCCUGGCAGCCGCAGUCAGGUUGAGGAUGGGUGUGCGGAACACCUCGACGUUGCUCUGGCGAGUGCGUCGACUGGCAGAAUGAUGGUGUUGACGACGAGCGCUGGAUGAUUCUCCGACCUCAUGCUCGUUCCGACCAGUCUGGAGGGGACUUUCAUGGGAAUCGGCCAUAAGAACUUCGGCUGCAGGUCCGCGACCCAGGUACUCGGAAGGUGGCUCAAUCGGAACUGAGUCCAAGCACUGGGAUGGCGGCGCGACCACAACCGAUUCGAGGACCGCCACUUGAAAGGACGCGUUCUGCCGCGCCUGGGCGUGUCGCACCCAACGCUGGAGCCGCGGACGACGGGAUCGCUUGUUGCGGCGCGUGACGAGGGCGAAUAUCGACACCGGGGCCGAUGGCUGGAGAAGAAGGACGCCACGGGAACCGGCACGGAAGUGCGUAGCCCCGCGACUGGGGAGCGCCUCGACGUCGAGGGGCGCAUCCUAAAGCCAUGCUGAAUCGUCGGCGAUGAAGGAGAGUGCGCCGAAGAGGAUAUCAUGACCCACGCACAGAUCUCCGCCGGACGACAUGAUGAAAAGAUGAAAUCGCAAACUCGCCGGAAGUUGCUUAGACGCCUGCCCCACGGUGGGCGCCAACUGUCGUGGGUAUAAGUCUGACAGUAGAUGUAUGGGGUACGAAAGGAUGGGCAGAGGCUUAGCUACGGCGAGGAUGUAUGAGUUCAGGCCCCUCUACGGUGGAGGUAAAAGCCCUACGUCUCAGUGCUCUUGGGAUCUUAGUGUCGAGUGGAUUAUAGGAUUACAGUAAAUGCCAACCCCUGCACCAGUGGGCAAGGGCGGCUUAUAUAGAGUGCGUUGCCCUUCAUAAUGGCCCGGUGGACAGGGGUGGAAUAGUGGCGAAUAAAUGCCUACGUUACAGGUAACGUAAGCCUUAAAUGUGAAUAAUGGUGUAUGAAAACGUAUGACCAUUGCCCUCCUGGGAGGUUACGAUGUACAGAGUGGAAUCCAGUCGGUACGUUAAAUAUGCUCCGAGUGCUCGUCGCCGACUGGAUGAUGGGAGAGUCCUUAGUUCAGUCGGAACUGUCUAAGGGCCUUGUCCUCUAUGAAGGGUAGUCCUUGGGUAGAACCUAUAGGGCAGGCCUAUGACCCUACCCUGGGACUAUAACCCCAUCAGGUCUCAUCACAACACACAGAUGACGACCAUAACUUAGGCGAGAGCAAUUCUGAUAGGCAGGAUCACUAUGCUGCUAAAACGCAGUUUUUUGCUUGCACGCUGGUGGGCAGCGGCAGUCAAAAUCGAUCUACCUCCAUGUCCCAGGAUUCGAGGGGUGACGGUACCUUGGUCUCACUGCAGCAGACAAGAGAGGACCCUACCUCAGGUCAGAACAGCAGCGACAGUCCGGUUCAUCAUGAUGUUGAAACGAUUGUGUGCGGGGAGAGGAAUUUGCAGGCUCAUUCGCAGUCCUAGGUUUCGGGUGACAUUGCACGAGGCACCAGGCAGGAGGCCCGCGUGACAUUUCCUAUGAACAUAUUACCCAAGGCUCAUAAUGCAGUGCCGGAAAGUGAUGUAGCUACGGCAGGGUGUGCGACAGACGGUCGUAAACAUUCACAGGUAUCUACGGAGGAGGUGAUCUCAUUUGGAGGGAUCCCAGAUCCUUCAUCUGGAGAUAGACGCUUCAGCCAACGUAUCCAGGAACAGCGAGAUGUUGAUGACAUGUCGAUAGGGCGUGCCAUGAGAGCCGCUAAAAUCCGAGAUGUUGAAAAGACUUCAGGUAUGCGUGUCGUUCCUGAUGCAUCAAUUCUUCAAUUUUCAGAUUCAGAUAUUAUUAAUAAUGCUAGCGACAUAGGUAUUUCUCUUGGAUCCUCAGGCAAACAAUUAGCAAAAUCUAUCAAUGAUAUUUUAGACUUAGAAGCAGACAGAACCAUUGAUUUUAUUCAGCAUUUAGCAGCGCUAAAACCAAUGAAAGAUUCACAUAUUAAUGACUUAGGAGGUGCACAACUGCAGAAUCUAUGUGAGAAUUUAUUACAUUUAGAGGACGAUGAGGAAGAGCUGGAUGACAUGGGAUCGGAGGGGUAUAUGGCUCCUUCGAUUGAUGGUUGUCAUCCAAAUGUCAUAUUAGUAAAAAAUAACUUAGAUGAUAUUAAAGACAAACCCAAGAGACCUUGGAAAAGAAAGGUAUUUCCUGAAUCUACGAUCAGGAGAAGUGCGAGAGUAAAACAAAAGAAAAAAAAUUCAUGAUGAGAUAUGAAAGGAAUUUUUUGGAAUAGCAGAGGUCUAGCGGACUUGGCUAAAAGAAGGUUCCUUAGAGAAGCAUCACUCGAACAUAAACUUGACUUUAUAGCAUUACAAGAAACUGGUAGGGAUAACUUCACACCGCAAUUUCUUAAUAUCCUCUCGGGGGGGGGGGGGUGGNNNNNNNNNNNNNNNNNNNNNNNNNNNNNNNCUUGGGGGGGGGGGGGGGUUGAUUUUGAUUGGCAUUGUUUACCGCCAAGGGGAAGAUCUGGUGAGAUCUUACUUGGGGUAAAAUGUGAAACAUUAGAGGUGACGAAUGUGAUAUAUGGCGAGUUCACGGUUAAAUUUUGACUGCGGUCAAAGAUUGAUGGGUUCAGGUGGGCUCUGGUGGCCAUAUAUGGGGCGGCGCAACCAGAACUCAAACCUGAUUUUCUUGCAGAUUUGGUACGGAUUUGUGGAGAAGAAAGACGUCCACUUAUGGUGGGGGGAGAUUUUAACAUCAUUAGAAGACAAGAUGAAAAAAAUAAUGAUAAUUUUGAUACACGGUGGUCCACUAUGUUCAACAUGGUCAUUGAGAGUCUCAAUUUGAGGGAGAUUGACCUCACUGGUAGACAAUUUACUUGGGGAAAUUCUUUACCGGUACCAACAUAUGAGAAAUUGGACCGGGUACUGGCCAGUGUUGAGUGGGAACAGAAAUACCCACUGGUUACAGUACAGGCUUUGCAAAGAGCUAUAUCUGACCACACACCUCUCCUAGUGGACUCGGGAGAGGCAAAUCAUGUGGGAAAUAGAAAUAUCUUUUCUUUUGAAUUAAGUUGGUUUGAAAGAGAAGGUUUCAUGGAUCUCAUAGCCGAAGAAUGGGCAAGGGAUUCGGGUGGGAUAACGAAUAUCGAAAUAUGGCAAAACAAAAUUCAAAAUUUACGUCAGUUUUUAAGAGGAUGGGCAAAAAAUCAGAGUGAUAAAUAUAGACUUGAAAGAGAAUUACUCAUUCGUCUGAUUGAUGAACUAGACAUUAAAGCGGAGUCUGAUCAUCUCAAUUUGACGGAUAGGAAUAAAAAGAUUGACGCUGAGAGGAAGUUGCAAAAACUCCUAAGAGAAGAGGAGAUGAAAUGGGCAACUAGAGCCAAGGUGGCAAAGGUGGUUCAUGGGGAUAUAACACACAAUUCUUUCACAUGAUUGCAAAUGGCAAACACAGGAAGAAAAAAAUUACUCAACUUGAGCAAGAUGAAGGAACAAUUAUAGGACACGAGAAUUUAAAAUUAUAUAUCUCUGAAUAUUACAAAAAUAUAUUUGCUAAACCAGAAGAGACGGGGGUCUCUCUCGAUGAAAGCAUCAAUCAUGAUAUACCACAACUAAAUGCAGAUGAGAAUGAGGUGCUAUCAGCUCCAUUCACAGAGAAGGAAGUAUAUGACUCAAUAACACAAAUGAAAUUAAAUAAAGCACCGGGACCAGAUGGGUUCCCUGCAGGGUUUUAUAAGAAAUGUUGGCAUAUCAUUAAGGGUGACUUGAUGCCUAUGUUUCAUGAUUUAUUUAAUGGUCAGUUGCCAAAAAAGGUCGAAGCUAUUCGAAUUGAACAGUUUAGACCGAUAUGUCUGCUGAAUGUGAGUUUCAAGAUUUUUACAAAAGUUGGUACAAACAGAUUAACAAAGAUAUCUAAUUCUGUAGUCCAACCGACAGAGACUGCGUUCAUGCCUGGGAGGCACAUCUUGGAGGGUGUUGUUGUCCUGCAUGAAACGUUGCAUGAAAUCCAUACAAAGAAACUUGAUGGGGUUAUAUUUAAAGUGGCUUUCGAGAAAGCAUAUGAUAAAGUCAAAUGGUCUUUUCUCCAACAGGCCUUACGUAUGAAAGGAUUCAAUGAUAGAUGGAGAAAUCAGGUUGAUAAUCUCAUCCAAAAAGGGAGUGUAAGUGUUAAAGUUAAUGAUGACAUAGGUCAUUUUUUUCAAACACAUAAGGGACUGAAGCAAGGUGAUUCAUUAUCCCCCGUGUUGUUUAACAUAGUUGCAGACAUGUUAGCAAUACUAAUAGAAAGAGCCAAAGAAAAAGGCCAAGUUGGAGGCCUCAUACCACAUCUCGUAGAAGGGGGGGUGUCUAUUUUACAAUAUGCGGAUGAUACACUUAUUUUCAUGGAGCACGAUAUGGCCAAAGCAAGGAACAUGAAACUAUUAUUGUGUCUUUCUGAACAAUUAUCAGGACUAAAAAUAAAUUUCGACAAAAGCGAAGUUUUCUGCUUUGGAAAGGCAAAAGAUGAACAAGACGCUUAUAGACAACUUUUUGGAUGUGAAAUGGGAUCACUACCAUUUAGCUAUCUUGGGAUUCCUAUUCAUCAUAGGCGACUGACGAAUAAGGAAUGGAAAUGUAUUGAACAUAGAUUUGAAAAAAAAUUAAGUUGUUUGAAGGGCAAGCUUAUGUCAUAUGGAGGACGGCUAGUAUUAAUAAAUUCGGUGUUAACUAGCCUACCCAGGUUUCUCUUGUCUUUUUUGAAAUACCAGUAGGGGUUCGGAAAAGACUAGAUUUUUAUAGGUCUCAUUUUUCUGGCAAAGUGAUGAGGUCAAGAAGAAAUACAGACUGACACGUUGGGAUAUUAUAUGUAGACCUAAAGAACGGGGGGGGGGGGAAUGGGUAUUGAAAACUUAGAAGUGAAGAACAUAUGCCUUCUCAGCAAAUGGCUUUUUAGGUUAUCUACGGGAAACCGAAGGAAUGUGGUUUCAAAUACUCAAGAAUAAAUACUUACAUUCAAAAACUUUAGCAUAGGUUAAACUUAGACCAGAGGAUUCCCCUUUGUGGAAAGGGCUAAUGAAGAUAAAGGUGACCUUUUUCUAGUGGGUAAGGUUUGUAGUUGGGGAUGGUGCAUCAACAAGGUUUUUGGAGGACACUUGGUUGGGAGACACUCCUUUAGCCCUUCAGUACCCAAAAUUAUAUAACAUUGCCCAACGUAAAGAUGAAUAUGUUGCCACGGUACUUCAAUCCAUACCACUUAACAUGCAAUCUAGGAGAACUCUAGUUGGACCACGAUGGAACACAUGGUUACAUCUGGUCAGAAGGCUAAUGCAGAUUCAGUUAUCUCACCAGACAUAUACUAUUCGUUGGACUUUGGUUGCCAACGGAGUAUUCUCAGUUAAAUCCAUGUACAUUGAUCUCAUUAACACUCGACCAAUAUCUAGAUCAUUACAUAUCUGGAAAAUCAAGGUGCCCCUAAGGAUUAAAAUUUUCAUGUGGUUCAUACACAAGGGUGUGGUAUUAACCAAAGUUAAUUUAACAAAACGAAGAUGGAGAGGCAGGGUGAUUUGUUGUUUUUGUGAGCAAAACGAAACAAUUAAACAUCUUUUCUUAGACUGUCCUCUUGCAAAACUUCUAUGGCGCACCUUACAUAUAGCUUUUAAUAUAUCUCCACCCACAUGUAUGAAUUCGUUAUUCACAACGUGGCUCAAUGUAGUGGACGGCAGAAUAAACUUAUUAGAAUUGGAGUCUGUGCGUUUUUUUGGGCUAUAUGGAAUACUAGGACUGACAUGAUUUUUAAUGGCAAGAAUUUCAACAACUUUUUGCAGGUUAUUUUCAGAGCAACAUCCUGGAUCCGUAUGUGGUCGUUACUCAGUCAUGUGGAAUCCAGGGAUCUUAUGGAUAUUGGGUGCAACCGAUGGGAGACGGCCUCUCGGAUUAUCUUCAACCGAUUUGGAUGGUGUGCUAAUAAUAGGCUAGGUGUAUAGGCAUCGUAGUCUGUUAUCAGUUAAGCCGGAUGUGGAAUUUAUUUUUUUAAUUUUUGUAUUGAGAUUCAGAGAUUUGUGGACAUAGACACAUUUUCCAUUUAUUAUUAAUAAUACGGCUGCAUGCAUCGAUUGAUGCAGAGGCAGGGGCUCGUUUCCUCCUUUUCAAAAAAAAACAUGGAGGCCACCAUUGUUGUGUUUGAUGGAUGUGGCACUACUUAGUUAGUGCCCCUGCUUGCUGUGCCGGUCGAGCUAUUUGUAGAUGACCGGGAAGAAGAGAAAGUGAGAAACUAGAGAGAAAAGUGGAAAAUUUGCUUUGGAAAUUUGCCGGCACGCCGAGAGCGACGGUUCCCAGCUAGUGAUCUCGGGCUGGAAAAACAAUGCAUUUGACAGGGACGACCGAGUGAGUAUAGUCAGAGCAUCUCCAACAGCCGCGUUAUACUAGCGCCGCGCCGCAAAAAAGGCAAUUAUAGCGCGCGCGCAAUGCGGCGAACAGCUCCAGCGGGCGCGCAAAAAUCGCGCGUGCGCUAAAAUGAGUUGGACGCGCUGGCCAUAGCCUCAUCCCGUGCUGUAUAUUUCGGGCGUCCACUUCUGCGCGCGGCAGACUCGAGCGCGCGCGCGAACUCGCCAUUUUCUUCCUCCUUUGCACCCGCGCGCGCUGGCGCCAGCGCCCCUGCCACCAUGGACGCGCACACCGGCACCCCGCUGACCCCGCUGUACAGCCGCGACCCCCCCGCCGCCGCCGCCACCGAAAACCCUAGCGCGGCGAGCGUUGGCGUUGGCGCCGCCGCCGCCGCCAAAGCUCCGCCGACCGUCGGCCUCGCGCGCAGCCUCUUCUUGCCGCCGCGGAUGACCACGCCGACGGGUGGCGUCGCGCCGGCGCCGUCCCGUGCCGCCGCCGCACCGUGAAAGCUCCCCAAUGCGUCGGAUCCGAAGAAAGGAAAAACAUCCGCGAAGAAGAAGGCGACGGACGGCUCCGGCAGCUCGAAGGCGAAGAAGAAGCUUGCAGGGCGACGGAAGGCGAAGAAGAAGCUUGCAGGCACCUCCGGCCAUGGGUGGAAUGUCUUUCGAUGUGCCUCACGCACAUACCCAUGAAAAUGCCGUUGAAGAUCUUGCCAAGACCGUCGGAGCUACACGUGAUGCGGUGUGUGAUGAGGUUAGGGAGGAAGAUUCAUCUUCGAAGGCGGAAGAAUCGUCUUCGGAAGAAGAGGAAGAAGACGAGGAAGAUGGUUGAUGUGUUUAUAUGUCUUCAACUAUGUUGGAUGAACUUGUAUUUUGAACUUGGUUUGCAUUUUAAACUUGGUUGGAUGAACUUGUGGACAUGACUUUUAUUCAUCAACUUGUUUGUGUUAAAUUUCACAUGUUCAUUGCAUUUUGAUGAAUGUUUUAAACUAUUUUUUGUCCAAAUGCCAUAUAUUUGGGUGUUGCUGGAGCGGCGCGCGCUGCAUUUUUGCGCGCUGCUGGAGCGGAGCGCGCGCGCUGCAUUUUAAAGCUGCUGCUGGAGCCAGCGCUGUGCGACACGCCAAACCAGGCGCUGGCAAACAUGUUUUUUAGGCGCGGCGCGAAGCGCGGCUGUUGGAGAUGCUUUUAGGAGCGGCCCCACGUUAGCCCAGCAGGUAGCCCAUAACACCGGGUAAAAAACUGACUUACCUUAUACAUAUAAAGCUCAGGAGGACGUGGACACCCCUAAAAUUCGUAAUGGGCACCUGUACAGAUCAAAAGGCCACAACUAGCUAACUAAUCCCUGUAGUACAUUAGAAUCGAUCUGUACGUACACCUGCGCAUCGAUCGCCGCUCCGCCAGACGCCCAGACUAAGGUAGUACUAGUACAUGAGAAUCGUGAAUCGAUCUGUGGCCUGUAGGAUUCAUCUAUACAUUCAUCUGUAGGAUUCAUCUGUACGUACUGUCUGCCUGCCUGUUCGUCUCUCUAGGGGCUUGCGUGUCUCGCUGCUCGGCCGCUGCAGCGCUGCACUUUGGCCUGUCGCCUCGCCGCCCUAGCCUGAUAAUCUAGUUCGUCAGAUCGCCCCAAUUCAUUCAAUAUCAGUAAAGGUAUGUUGCAUUAGACCCAAUUCGCAGUAUGUCUGUCCCUAUUUCAAUUCGUAAAUUCUGUUGUAGUUCUUAUUUUGUCUCUCUAACCCUAGGGAAUUGGGGCUACUGGAUAAGACAACAAAUUUUAACUGUAUUAGCUAUUGGACUAUUUGUCUUUUGUAAUGGUUAGUGGAGAAUAAUACUACAAUACUUACGAGAUUACAAAUUACUACGGCCGGAAGCAGCGGCAAGGCAGCAACAUGUCAAGUACGUUGUAUUUUACUUGCAAUCCCCUGAAUAAUUAUACACAUGAUUCCUAGUUUUUCCCUUUUGUGAAGAAAUAGAUGAUUAUCUAAAUAAUUACAAAUUGCAGGAGAAGCUCAGUUUAUGGAUAGGUUUCUAAAAAAAGGAAAACCAUAGUGCAAGAUGAAGGUCCAUCACACGAACAUAAUCAGAAUGAUGCCUCGAUCCCGCCACAGAUUGACGUCCCAGCCCCGCCAUCACCACCUGGACAAAAUGAUGCCUCAACACCUGAAUCUAGUUCUACCAAUAAUACAAGGAAUUCAAUUCAAGUUGAAGAAGAUAUCAAUUGGGGAAAUGGUAUACCAAUAUGUGAAUCCAAAGAGGCCACGGGCAAAAUCAGGUACCACUAAUAGGCAUCAUUAUGAAGUGAAUUGUUUUAAUGAUGUUAUUGAUUGGCUGCUUCAAGAACUUGGUAACCGUUUCAAUGUGAAAAAUUCUGAACUACUUGUCUGCUCAGCGGCUUUGAGCCCAAAUGAAUCAUUUUGUGAUUUCAACUUAGAGCAUUUGAUGAGUCUAGCCAAACUUUAUCCAAAAGAUUUUGAUGAUGGAGAACUGAGGGACCUUAGACAUCACAUUCAUCCUUACAUUGCUGAUGUCCGAGCAGAUGAUCGUUUCUCUGGUUUAAGUAAUAUUUGUGAGCUCUCUCAAAAAAUGGUGGAUACAAAGAAACAUAUUGUAUAUCCCUUGGUUUAUCGCCUUUUGAAGCUAGCACUAGUAUUGCCAGUUGCCACGGCUACAGUUAAAAGAUCUUUUUCAGCUAUGAGAAUUGUGAAGACAUAUUUGUGCAGUCGUCUUGGUGACGCCGCAUUGAAGUACAACCUUAUUUGUUAUGUGGAGAAAAGAGAAAUAAGGAAGGCUACUAAUGAUGCAAUGAUUGGUCGGUUUGAGGACAUGAAAGAAUGUAGGAAACCAUUUUAGCAAGGUAAUGGUUUUAUCUUCUUUAUUACACAGCUGUAAUUAAUAUGUUGCUAAGUGGCUUUUUUUAUUUGUAGGCAAUCAGGAUCUAUGAUGCAUUUUCUCGUCAUCGGUUAUACUUAAUGUUGGGUAAUGUAGCAUAAAUUCAAAAAUUUCCUACGCAUAUUCAGAUCUUCCUAUGGAAAGACCAUCAACGAGAGAGGGGUAAGAGCAUCUUCAUACCUUUGAAGAUCGCUAAGCGGAAGCGUUGCUAGAACACGGUUGAUGGAGUCGUACUCGUAGCGAUUCAGAUCGCGGUGUGAUUCUGAUCUAGUGUCGAACUACGGCACCUCCGCAUUCAACACACGCGCAGCCCGGUGACGUCUCCCGCACCUUGAUCCAGCAAGGAGGAGGGAGAGGUUGGGAAAGAACUCCAGCAGCACGACGGCGUGGUGUCGAUGGAGAGACGAGGUCUCCCGGCAGGGCUUCGCCAAGCACCGGCAGAGAGGAGGAGAAAGAAGGGCAGGGCUGCGCCGAGGGAGAGCGUGAAGUCUGUCUCCCAAGGGCCAAAACCCCUCUCUAUUUAUAGGAGGAGGGGGAAGGGCUGCGCCACCCCUAGGGUUCCCUCCCUAGGGGUCGGCGGCCACAAGAUGGGAGAGGGGGGCGGCGGCUAGGGUGGGAGGGGGUGGCGCACCACCUGGUGGGCGUAAGGCCCACCUACGCCUAGGGUUGCCCCCUCUGCCCACCACUUGCGCAUUGGGCUGGGUGUGGGAGGUGCACCAGCCCACCUAGGGGCUGGUUCUCUCCCACACUUGGUCCAUCUAGCUGUUGGGGAACGUCGCAUGGGAAACAAAAAAAUUUCCUACGCGCGCGAAGACCUAUCAUGGUGAUGUCCAUCUACGAGAGGGGAUUUCCGAUCUACGUACCCUUGUAGAUCACACAGCAGAAGCGUUAGUGAACGCGGUUGAUGUAGUGGAACGUCCUCACGUCCCUCGAUCCGCCCCGCGAACUGUCCCACGAACCAUCCCGCGAUCCGUACCACGAUCCGCUCCGAUCUAGUGCCGAACGGACGGCACCUCCGCGUUCAGCACACGUACAGCUCGACGAUGAUCUCGGCCUUCUUGAUCCAGCAAGAGAGAUGGAGAGGUAGAUGAGUUCUCCUGCAGCGUGACGGCGCUCCGGAGGUUGGUGGUGAUCUAAUCUCGGCAGGGCUCCGCCCGAGCUCCGCAGAAACGCGAUCUAGANNNNNNNNNNNNNNNNNNNNNNNNNNNNNNNNNNNNNNNNNNNNNNNNNNNNNNNNNNNNNNNNNNNNNNNNNNNNNNNNNNNNNNNNNNNNNNNNNNNNGCAUGUUUUACGUGGUGACCAUGGGUAUCUAGUAGGAUCACAUCUUACUUACGCAAACACCACAACGGAGAUAUAUGAAUUGCUAUUUAACCUCAUCCAAGGACCUCCUCGGUCAAUUCCGAUUCAACUAAAGUUGGAGAAACUGACACCCGCCAGUCAUCUUUGAGCAACGGAGUUACUCGUAGCGAUGAAACUAGUCUCUCGUAAGCGUACGAGUAAUGUCGGUCCGAGCCGCUUCGAUCCAACAAUACCGCGGAAUCAAGAAAAUACUAAGGAGGGCAGCAAAACGCACAUCACCGCCCACAAAAACUUUUGUGUUCUACUCGAGAAGACAUCUACGCAUGAACCUAGCUCAUGAUGCCACUGUUGGGGAACGUCGCAUGGGAAACAAAAAAAUUCCUACGCUCACGAAGUCCUAUCAUGGUGAUGUCCAUCUACGAGAGGGGAUUUCCGAUCUANNNNNNNNNNNNNNNNNNNNNNNNNNNNNNNNNNNNNNNNNNNNNNNNNNNNNNNNNNNNNNNNNNNNNNNNNNNNNNNNNNNNNNNNNNNNNNNNNNNNNNNNNNNNNNNNNNNNNNNNNNNNNNNNNNNNNNNNNNNNNNNNNNNNNNNNNNNNNNNNNNNNNNNNNNNNNNNNNNNNNNNNNNNNNNNNNNNNNNNNNNNNNNNNNNNNNNNNNNNNNNNNNNNNNNNNNNNNNNNNNNNNNNNNNNNNNNNNNNNNNNNNCUCGACGAUGAUCUCGGCCUUCUUGAUCCAGCAAGAGAGACGGAGAGGUAGAUGAGUUCUCCGGCAGCGUGACGGUGCUCCGGAGGUUGGUGGUGAUCUAAUCUCAGCAGGGCUCCGCCCGAGCUCCGCAGAAACGCGAUCUAGAGGAAAAACCGUGGAGGUAUGUGGUCGGGCUGCCGUGGCAAAAGUUGUCUCAAAUCAGCCCUAAUACCUUAGUAUAUAUAGGAGGGAGGGGGAGGGAAGAGGCAGCCUCAAACCUAUAUAUCAAUCUUUACUAGGGGCUGGUUUAUCUCUUCCCAUAGCCCAUGAUACCCCCUUGGGGCGUGACACCCCUCCCGAUGGUCCCCGACACCCCUCCCGGCACUCCCGGAACACGUAGGAUUCCACCUUCCCACUUGGAAACUCUUUCCACCUUGUGUUUUUUCCUUCUCAAACCUUAUGGGCCUUAGUGGGAACUUAUUCCAGCCCACUAGGGGCUGGUUUAUCUCUUUCCAUAGCCCAUGAGACCCCUUGGGGCGUGACACCCCUCCCGAUGGUCCCCGGCANNNNNNNNNNNNNNNNNNNNNNNNNNNNNNNNNNNNNNNNNNNNNNNNNNNNNNNNNNNNNNNNNNNNNNNNNNNNNNNNNNNNNNNNNNNNNNNNNNNNUAUAUAUAGAUUUUUCUUACACUCGCCACAAGCUACAUCAGAGUCACAUCAGUACAUUACAUAAUCAUCAAGAGUAAGAGCAGGGUCCGACUACGGAUGAAAAUAAACGACAAAAGAAGAACGACGUCCAUCCUUGCUAUCCCAGGCUGCCGGCCUGGAACCUAUCCUAGAUCGAUGAAUAAUAAGAAGAAGAAGCAACUCCAAAUGAACAAUCAACGCGCUCGCGUCAAGUAACCUGUACCUGUACCUGCAACUGGUGUUGUAGUAAUCUGUGAGCCACAGGGGACUCAGCAAUCUCAUUUCCAAAGGUAUCAAGACUAGCAAAGCUUAAUGGGUGAGGUAUGGUUAAGUGGUGAGGUUGCAGCAGCAGCUAAGCAUAUAUUUGGUGGCUAACUUAUGAGUACAAAAAAUAAGAGAGGGAAGAUCUACGCAUAACGGACGUGAACUACUGAUGAUCAAAUGAAUGAUCCUGAACACCUACCUACGUCAGACAUAACCCCACCGUGUCCUCGAUCGGAGAAGGAACUCACGAAAGAGACAGUCACGGUUACGCACAUAGUUGGCAAGUUUUAAUUAAGUUAACUUCAAGUUAUCUAGAACCAGUGUUAAACAAAGUUUCCACGUUGCCACAUAACCGCGGGCACGGCUUUCCGAAAAGAUUUAACCCUGCAGGGGUGCUCCAACUAGUCCAUCACAAAUUACCACAAGCCGCAUAGAAAUCCUCAAUCAUGAAGCUCGCGAUCUCGUCGGAUUCCCUAGUGGAAAACUUCAACUCUCAGAUUACCCAAAGCAUCACCGGAAUUNNNNNNNNNNNNNNNNNNNNNNNNNNNNNNNNNNNNNNNNNNNNNNNNNNNNNNNNNNNNNNNNNNNNNNNNNNNNNNNNNNNNNNNNNNNNNNNNNNNNAUGUCUACAUAGUUCUCGAACCCGCAGGGUCUGCACACUUAAGGUUCGACGUUGUUUUAUGCGUAUUUGAGUUAUAUGGUUGGUUACCGAAUGUUGUUCGGAGUCCCGGAUGAGAUCACGGACGUCACGAGGGUUUCCGGAAUGGUCCGGAAACGAAGAUUGAUAUAUAGGAUGACCUCAUUUGAUUACCGGCAGGACAUCACGAGGAGCUCCGGAAUCGUCCGGAGGUAAAGAUUGAUAUAUAGGAAGUCCUGUUUUGGUCAUCGGAAAAGUUUCGGGCUCAUCGGUAGUGUACCGGGAGUGCCGGGAGGGGUGCCGGGGACCAUCGGGAGGGGUGUCACGCCCCAAGGGGAUAUCAUGGGCUAUGGGAAGAGAUAAACCAGCCCCUAGUGGACUGGAAUAAGUUCCCACUAAGGGCCAUAAGGUUUGAGAAGGAAAAAACACAAGGUGGAAAGAGUUUCCAAGUGGGAAGGUGGAAUCCUACUCCAAGUAGGAUUGGAGUAGGACUCCUCCACCUCCAAUUUCGGCCAAACCUUGAGGGUUUGAGGCUGCCUCUUCCCUCCCCCUCCCUCCUAUAUAUACUGAGGNNNNNNNNNNNNNNNNNNNNNNNNNNNNNNNNNNNNNNNNNNNNNNNNNNNNNNNNNNNNNNNNNNNNNNNNNNNNNNNNNNNNNNNNNNNNNNNNNNNNAUCCUAGAUCGAUGAAUAAUAAGAAGAAGAAGCAACUCCAAAUGAACAAUCAACGCGCUCGCGUCAAGUAACCUGUACCUGUACCUGCAACUGGUGUUGUAGUAAUCUGUGAGCCACAGGGGACUGACCCAAGAGACUCCUCGGUCAAUAUCCAAUAGCGGGACCUGGAUGCCCAUAUUGGAUCCUACAUAUUCUACGAACCACUGGUUCUAGAUAACUUGAAGUUAAUUUAAUUAAAAUAUGCCAACUGUGUGCGUAACCGUGACUGUCUCUUUCGUGAGUUCUUCUCCGAUCGAGGACACGGUGGGGUUAUGUCUGACGUAGGUAGGUGUUCAGGAUCAUCCAUUUGAUCAUCAGUAGUUCACGUCCGUUAUGCGUAGAUUUUCCCCCUCUUAUCACUUGUACUCGUAAGUUAGCCACCAUAUAUAUGCUUAGCCGCUGCUGCAACCUCACCACUUAACCAUGCCUCACCCAUUAAGCUUUGCUAGUCUUGAUACCUUUGGAAAAGAGAUUGCUGAGUCCCCUGUGGCUCACAGAUUACUACAACACCAGUUGCAGGUACAGAUAAAGGUUACCUGACGCGAGCGCGUUGAUUGUUCAUUUGGAGUUGCUUCUUCUUCUUCUUCAUUGAUCUAGGAUGGGUUCCAGGCCGGCAGCCUGGGAUAGCAAGGAUGGACGUCGUUCUUCNNNNNNNNNNNNNNNNNNNNNNNNNNNNNNNNNNNNNNNNNNNNNNNNNNNNNNNNNNNNNNNNNNNNNNNNNNNNNNNNNNNNNNNNNNNNNNNNNNNNCCCCCCCCCCCCCACCCCGGAAACUUUUCCGAUGACCAAAACAGGACUUCCUAUAUAUCAAUCUUUACCUCCGGACGAUUCCGGAGCUCCUCGUGAUGUCCUGGAUCUCAUCCGGGACUCCGAACAAUAUUCGGUAACCAACCAUAUAACUCAAAUACGCAUAAAACAACGUCGAACCUUAAGUGUGCAGACCCUGCGGGUUCGAGAACUAUGUAGACAUGACCCGAGAGACUCCUCGGUCAAUAUCCAAUAGCGGGACCUGGAUGCCCAUAUUGGAUCCUACAUAUUCUCCGAAGAUCUUAUCGUUUGAACCUCAGUGCCAAGGAUUCAUAUAAUCCCGUAUGUCAUUCCCUUUGUCCUUCGGUAUGUUACUUGCCCGAGAUUCGAUCGUUAGUAUCCGUAUACCUAUUUCAAUCUCGUUUACCGGCAAGUCUCUUUACUCGUUCCGUAAUACAAGAUCCCGCAACUUACACUAAGUUACAUUGCUUGCAAGGCUUGUGUGUGAUGUUGUAUUACCGAGUGGGCCCCGAGAUACCUCUCCGUUCACACGGAGUGACAAAUCCCAGUCUUGAUCCAUACUAACUCAACUAACACCUUCGGAGAUACCUGUAGAGCAUCUUUAUAGUCACCCAGUUACGUUGCGACGUUUGAUACACACAAAGCAUUCCUCCGGUGUCAGUGAGUUAUAUGAUCUCAUGGUCAUAGGAAUAAAUACUUGACACGCAGAAAACAGUAGCAACAAAAUGACACGAUCAACAUGCUACGUCUAUUAGUUUGGGCCUAUUCCAUCACGUGAUUCUCCUAAUGACGUGAUCCAGUUAUCAAGCAACAACACCUUGUUCAUAAUCAGAAGACACUGAUUAUCUUUGAUCAACUGGCUAGCCAACUAGAGGCUUGCUAGGGACGGUGUUUUGUCUAUGUAUCCACACAUGUAAAUGAGUCUUCAUUCAAUACAAUUAUAGCAUGGAUAAUAAACGAUUAUCUUGAUACAGGAAUUAUAAUAAUAACUAUAUUUAUUAUUGCCUCUAGGGCAUAAUUCCAACAACAACAGGGUGGUGCCUUACCGCACCGGAGGCACACACGCAACAGGGUGGUGUCCGAACUAAAAAGGGGUUUGCUGCUGCUAAUCUUUUGGAGAAGUUGGUAUGUUCGCAAUCAACCAGUACACUCUAAACCCGCUCCUCCACUAUCGGUCUCGGUGAAAUUCCUGCAGGAUUAUGUUGAGGCGUUAUCAAGCAUUAAUGAAGGCUCUUCCAAGGAUCUGAUCGAAGGGAAACGGAGUUAUAGUUUCAGCAAAACCCCAUCUAAAAGAGUAGGAGAGAUUAGUCGUGCUACCCCUUGGAAACCACCCCCAUCAGGUUGGGUUAAACUGAACAUAGAUGGCUCUUUCUCGGAAGAUGGUGGUGCUGGGGUAGGUAUGAUCCCGAGGGACAACUUGGGGGUUAUUGUGUUCUCCUCUUGCAUAUCUCUUUUCUCUUGCAGAGAUGCUUUGGAGGCCGAAGUGUGUGCUUGUAUGGAAGGGAUUUCCUUUGCCAUUCAACGAUCCGACCUGCCAAUUCUGAUAGAGAUGGACUCGAGCAGAGUUGUGGCGAUGAUUUCAAGCGGUGGACCGGAUCGAUCGAUGUAUGCUUCACUAGUUGGUGAAAUUAAAUAUCUUAUGAGCCUUAGGAAAACUUGUAUUAAUCUUAUCCCUAGAUCUUAAAAUAAACCUUCUGAACGCCUUGCUAGUUUUGGUAGGAUCGAAGGUAGAACUAUGACUUGGGUUAGUUCUGCUCCUGAGGAUGUCUUGAAGCUGGUCUUGGAUGAUUGUAUAGACCCUCAUAUUGAGUAAUACAAGUAUUAUUCCCGCAAAAAGAAAAACAAAUGAACAAGACAUAAAGAAAAUGUUUCUUUCCAAAUUUAUUGUUCGUGCAAGAGCAUAUGAGCUCGGGUUUAAUUUUCAGUACCGUAUGAGCACGUCCUUUUUUCCUUUUAAUAAAUGCAUUUGUUUUUCCUUUUGUUGCCUGCUAUUGCAGGCUGAACGCGACCGAACAAUAUUUGGCACGACCAUUUUGCCUCAUGUCGAUCAUUUUGAAACCAGCGUUUUGUUUUUUUCUACGACAUAAGAAUGAGGUAACACGCGGUAUUGGUUUUGGACCUGCUGCCUGCUGCCUGCUGGUGCCCUUGGGCUGGGCCACGGGACAAAGUCUUGGUCAACCACACACCCAACCAACACUGACCACGACUCGCCAUGGUACGUGUACUUGGCAGGACUAGUAAACAUGCACGUGCAAAUGCACGUCUCAACUGAUAUACAAAUAUAUGUUAAAAUUAACAUGAAUAAAAAAAUAGUCAUUAAGAGGAUCUCCAAGUUCAACAACCACAAGCAAAAACUUAGAAUGAACAAAACACUUGACUCCACCGAAAAACAAACACUUGACUUCUUAUUCAUUUAAGAUCUAUAUGCCUUGUUUGAUCAAAAUUUGACAAAAAACGGGCUGAAUUAAAUUUAAUGGCCUUUUCAAAUGUAUAUAAACUUUACCUAAAAUUAUCAGUAUUAUAUUAGAUAAAAAAAUGGCAUCAUGUAGGCAUGGGUACUCGAUAUGUUCAAAAAUCAAAUAAUCCAAUCCACACUUAAUCAGGUCUCACAUUACAAAUCGUCACAUAAAUUUAAAGAAAGAGAUUUGUAGUUUGAUCUGCCCUCUCUUCCUUCUUAAACCAAAUAGUCGAUCCACACUUAACCCUAGUGCAAAUAUAUGUUCAAAUUAACAUGAAUAGAAAGAUAGUUUGGUCGCACCUAAAAUAUUACAAAUCAAGAAAACAUUUCCGGGUAACAUCACAUGCAUGGAGACAAAAAAUACACUAUUAUCUUAGCAUUUUCUAAUACUGCUAAUCAUUGCUCGUGCGACGGGAUGCUUGCACUUUGGGUUCCCCACCUGCACGGCUUCAUUCGCAAUAGAGAACUCUUUGGGCAGAGAAGAUCAGAAAGAUACAUGCUGAUGUACAACAUUUCUAACACCCGGGAAUCGAUCAGCCCAGCGCCUAUAACCUGCAACCAGUACAAAAGGGAAGUUAGAUAAUGCUGUUUCAAAUCACAGAUCACACACAUCGAAUGAGUGUCGCGUUCUCUUCCUCUUUCAUUUGUAAGUUCGACGGGUUACUGUGUUUACCUGAUGCAAUGAUUUGCUUUUGGUUAAGCUGUUCACUAUCGUCGUCAGGGAUAUCCUGUAGGCCAAAUUCAGAAAGCCAACAUCAAACAAACACAUCCAGAAUUAGAAAAGGAAGCAAACGCAUGCGGGAGGAGAAAAAUCUCACUUAAGAGAUGAUGGCAUUAUUACCUGAUGCAAGCUUCUGGCAAUGAGGUCAGACAAUCUCCCAAGGGUCUUGGGGUCAAAACCUGAGCAGCUCAAGAGAAACUCUUAUGAUGUCAACUCCAUCACCAUCGUGCAUAAGCUGGCGGCUGUCAUGAUGACUGAUGAAGCAUCUGUUGUUCCUAUAAGCUCACACAUUCAUACUUAAUGAUCAGCUCACAUUCAAGAAAAAAGAGAGCUACCGGUCAACCCGUGAAGAGAAUCAACAUGAAAAUGAGUAUCAAUAUUUAGCAUGAUAUUUAUGUCUGGAUUAGUUCAUUUCUCCUUGGUUAGUGAAUAUCUCUACCAGAGAUAGAUCCUCGUAUCCUGCUAUAGGACUACAUGUAAGAGAUGCCAGAUAUGCCAACAGGCAGAUAUUCAAGCAGCUAUAAAAUUAUUGCCAUGAUCAUGGUUCAGAAACCAGUGCCAGGUUUCAAUCAAAAUUGAUCCAUAUAUGAUUUGACGUGUUUCUAAAAGGGUGCUGGUUUACGACAUUAAUGACACCAUUUGACCGUCAGUGUUUGCAGUGAUGUGUAUUUGUAUUACUUAGACAUCAAAACUUCAACAACUCAUCUGUAACAAUUUGAAAAAUAAAGAACAAACGUAAACUGACCCAGCAGCGGUUUUGAGAUUAAAGCAGUUUUUUGAACCUUUGCCAGGACAACCAAUGUGCACUUUGACAACUAUGCACAGACCAACAGAGGGAAGUAAUUUCUGAAGUAUGUCUGAUUCCAGUUACAAUGUUGAGUAUAUAACAAGAUGCAGAUAUCCAGAGGCAAUCGUCUCUUCCCAGAUUUUAGUAACAGAAUUUGUCACGCUCACUAAGAGGGCAGCCUGGUGCACGUAGCUCCCACUUGCACAGGCUCCGACCACUUUGGGUCCUUUGUACGCAGCCUUUCCCUGCAUUUCUGCAAGAGGCUGUUUCCAGGACUCGAACCCGUGACCUCAUGGUCACAAGGAUUUCACAAGGAUUUGUCACGCUUACUAAAUUCAGGUAAAAUAAAUGAAAGAAUCAGACAUUUUGAAAUGCCUACAACUGAGAGACACCCUAGAAACAAUAUGUAAGUAUAUCCUUUUCAGCUUAUGUAAAGAAAUUAGGAGCAGAAUGUACCAGCCCAUGCAAUAAGUGCUUGCAAGAGGCGGUUGAAUCAAGGCUCCAUUUGAAUAGGAUAAUAUGAAUGAACGUAAUGAUCCAAGGUGGAGCUUACCAAGUAUAGAUAUUAUGUAGUGCAUACAAGCGGUAGCACACCAAACACCAAAAGCUGCAAUUAGAAACAUACAAUGUUAAUCCAAAAAAGUUAUCUUGUGUACAAGCACCAAACCAAGAAUCCAAAGUUCAGAGAGCAAACCUAUGUUAGCCCUCCAAGACAUCUCUGUACACUAUGUUCUUGGUGCUUUUACCCGUUUGAUCUAUUUCUUUAUUUGGCUUUGCUAGAACCCGAGUUGUCUGCCUUGACACACCCCUUGACAGUGCAACAUAAAGAUGUCCGUGCGAGAAUACAGGCCCCGGAAGGUAAAUACCAACAAUUGGGAUGGUUUGCCCCUGGGCUUUGUUUAUCGUCAUAGCAAAACUCAGACGAAUAGGGAACUGCUUCCUCUUAAACUUGAAAGGAAGUGAAAUAUCCUCUGAGGGGGCCAUCGGGAUCCUAGGGAUGAACACUCUCUUUCCAGCAUGUUGUCCACCAACAAUCUCGGCGUCGAUUGCGUUAUUUUGGAACACUCUAAUCAUCAAUCUCGUUUCGUUGCAUAGGCCAUUGUUAGGAUCGAGAUUUCGAAGCAGAAUGACAGGACAAUUGACUUCAACUUUUAGAAUGUGGGGAGGCAAGCCAUUUGGAGUGAGGCUGUUCAGAUAGUCAAUUGGGUAGCUAUUGCGUGUAUCAUCAUCGACGGAAUCAAAGCUAUAGUAUACUUUUUCUUGUCCAGGAAAUCUGUCAAUCAUCUUUGUAUUUAGGUCGUCCACGUGGUCAUUCUUAGUGGAAAGAAUAGCACGUGUGCUCAUGUAGGCACCGGAUGAUGCGUUCUCAUGAAGAGAUGGGAACACAUGUUCAAUAAGCUUCAUGACUGAUGCGUCACCAGGUGUGUAACCUAUCACAAUGUCAUCAGGCAGACGCACAUAAUCAUCACCGAUCGUCUCCUCCGUUCCAUUGCCAAUUCUCAAGAGGUAUUUGGAGAACCACGGGUCAGUUUGUGCUCUCAUAUUACGCGUGAGGCGUAUUUUUCUAAUUUUCUCCCAAAGGUACGAUCUUUGGAGCGUAGCGUCAGUUAUCUGUGCUCUUGUCCCUCGCGUGACCACGGGGAGGACCUGUCUAAAAUCCCCUCCAAACACCAUACCCUUUCCCCCAAAUGGCAUAGUACAUCCCAUGAUAUCCUGUAGCGACCUAUCUAGUGCCUCAACUGCUUGACGCUUCGUCAUGGCAACUUCAUCCCAAAUUAUGAGAGAUGCUCUCCGAAGCAACUCUGCAGUACCAUUCUGCUUGGUGAAGCUGCAGAUGCUAUUAUCCAUGAACUUAAUUGGAAUUUUGAACCUGGAGUGGGCGCUACGACCACCAGGCAUGAUUGAUGCAGCUAUUCCAGAUGUUGCAGUUGCAAUAGCUAUUUUACCCAAUGAACGGACUUUAGCAAGAAGCGCCUUGUAUAGGUAAGUCUUCCCCGUUCCACCGGGACCAUCAACAAAGGAAACCUGUCUCCGGUUGGUCUCCACAUGAUCAAAGAUUUCCUCAAACCCAACCCUCUGCUCAAUGUUCAGGGAUGUAUACAGAUCUAGAUGCUCUUGAUCCACACCGACCGACAACUCCUCUCGAACCUCACGCAGGAGGUCGACAGAACCAUCACCAGUGUCAACCACCUCCGGGAGGCCAUAGCUUUUAAUAUCUUUGCCCAUCGAAUGCACCAAAUCCCUGAUGUCUCUAAGGACCAUUUGUUCCAGCACGGACAGGGUGGACUGGGUACGACGGUAAUCCUCAGACAUUGACUCCAAAUGCUUCUCCCACAAUGCACGGAUGUUGGUCGGCUCGCAGAACACCAGAAUAGUUGCGAAAAGAUUUCUUAGAGCACAUGGCAUCUGAAAAGUAGCAGACUCAGUCAAGCAUUCAUCAAGUGAUUUGUCAGUCUCUAUUAGGCCCAUGAGCUCACACGCUUCUCUGAAGGUCGAGCAAAGGCUCCCAUUGACAUUUCUCAAAUCCUCAUAGGAAGUGGCACCUCUUCUAUGAUUCAGAAGCACUCUCAUGAAGUACCUCUCACCAUCAGCAGGGCGGGCAUAAACAAUCCUUCCAACUUGUCCCCGACCCCUCUGGCUUCUUUUCUGCCACAUUUUCUUACCCUUAAUCCAUCGAAAGUAUUCUGGGAACUCUUUAUACAGCAAGUUUCGUGCUUCAGGGUACAACUCAUUCAUCCUAAAGUAUUUUGUUAGCAUAGUUUUGGAAGAGGACGGUCGGUUCAUGACAUCCUCUAGGUUAUCCGUACCGUUGAAUGCAACAGUAUGCAUGUUGGGCAAAUGCAGUUGUAGUUGCAACACUGCAGGAGAGAUACCAUACAUACGGAAAGCACAUAUCCUGUACAUCGCCUCAGGUGGUAUUACACACCUUGCAUCUCUGUAUUGCCGAAUCUCAUUUAUCACACCGCCAUCAUUUUCCACAGGGUCAAGUGUGAAGGAAGCACGAUCAUGUCCCUUGUAUAUGUACUUGUACAAAUAUUUUACUGCUUUUAUGCUCGAGCAAGCUUCAACAUUAAUGUGGCAAUUAUAUCUCAUAAGCAGUCCGGGAUUGUACGGCACAACCCAUCUGUUGUCCAACACUGCAUUCCUAACUUUUAUUCGACGUCCAUCAUCCCUUCUCCUAUAGAUAGGGUAUGAGUCCUUGCCUUGUUGUGUUGCAGGGCAGAACUGUCGAGGGUAACGAAAACGACAAUUGUCAUCUAUCAUGCAAGGACAAUUCUUCUGGAGAAUACCACAUGGUCCGUGGAGCAUGUGCUUGAUAAUCAAACCAUGCAACACAGGGUACUUCUCACGGCUAGGGAUCUCCGCGGAGAUUACCCUAUCAUAGGCGUCUGGACUUGUGAGCUUACUAUCGGAGUCCAUGAUCAGCAGACUAUCGGAGUCCAUGAUAAGCAGGAAGUGCUCAUGCGGAAGACCCCUCUUUUGGAAUUCGGUAACAUGAGCAUACGGUGCAACCGGACCAAGGUACUUCUUUUUUAUGAUAAGAUCUUUCAGACUUCGCAUCUUCGCCCUGUAUACUCUGGCCACCAGGUCAGGACGGUCUUGUGGUGUUUUGUCCGGAUGCAAGUCUUGAAGUUAUCUCCUCCCAGUAAGGGUUGCAGGUCAUAGUGAUUAAGUAAUCAGGCUUCCCGUAUCUCUGGACGACGGCCAUCGCAUCAAGGAAUCUUCUCUGCAUGUCUCGAUCACCUCCCGGAAAAGUCCGAGGAAGCACGAUUCUUUUUCCAAUUUGAGCAGCACGCGUCUCUCCGGAAGCAAUCGUGUCAACAACACCCUAUGGACCAAAUGAUUCGGUUUUAUCAUUGGUUAUUGCUUUUACAAAUCAAUCAUGAUGACCACCAACAAGAAAAUACAUUAGGCUCAUACUUGGUGUUUGGAUUAUCAUAGUUAUUGGCUAACAUACAGGUGCGUGACAAAUUUUCGUAGUACGUUCAUGUGAGUGUAGAUUUAUGUUACCUGGUAGAGCUCAGCACGUCUUCGCUUUUGAUUCUGAGGCUUCGAGUAGAAAUCAAGCCUCAUAGUAUCCAUUUUGAUGUACAUGUCAACAACCCACUGUUGGAAAAGACGCCCCCCAAACGUUACCAUGUUAAAAACUCCUUCCCUGAUCUGCAACUUGUAACAGUAAUACUCCCUCGCACUGACAAAUUUUUUAGACUCGAUACCUUCGUCCUCAUAUUGUGCUUCGUUGUCAUCUACAAGAUGGUUGCAACAAGAUAUUAUGUAGGGUCCUACUAAUGAAGGUUGGAGGAAUUCAUGGUUCGUAUCCCAAUUGUUAUGACACCUUUACCUGCUUCAUGUUCAUCGUCCUGGUUGUCAUUCUCGUCCUCAUUGCCUGUCUGCGCGGGAGGUGCUCCCUCAUAUGGCAGCCAACGGUUCCAUCCGGUCUCCCCAGACGGGUAAAAUAAUGGGUAUGCCAAAGGAUCGUAGCACCCGUAGUAGGCUCUUAUGUAUAUAGGACGGCCCCCUAGUCCAUGCACCAUAACACUUCUAUCAAAGGUGUGUUGCGGGUCACUCCCUUCAACCCACAUUGCAGCCACUUGAGAGGUUGUAGGGGCAUUGUACCUCCGCUGAUCCAAUUUUAUAUUUGUAUUCAGCGUAAUCCUAUAUUCUGUUAGGUCUGGAAAAGAACCAAGUCUCUUAAAAGUUUGCACAUAUGGAUUGUUCUCCAAUAUACGCAGAAUGUUCCGUAUGAGAUUGAUAUCAAGAUCCUCUCCNNNNNNNNNNNNNNNNNNNNNNNNNNNNNNNNNNNNNNNNNNNNNNNNNNNNNNNNNNNNNNNNNNNNNNNNNNNNNNNNNNNNNNNNNNNNNNNNNNNNUUCCCAGAACGUCCUGAAAAUUUACGGAGAAUAUUUUUGGAAAAUAUAAAAAAUACCUGCGCAAAGAUCCACCUGAGGGGGUGGGCCAGUGGGCCACAAGCCCUGCCACCGCCACCCCCUGGUGGCGGAUGGCAAGCUUGUGGGGCCCACGUGGCUCUUCCGCCCCCAAUCUCAGCUCUAUAAGUUCACUUUCAUCCCAGAAAAAAUCAAGAGCUANNNNNNNNNNNNNNNNNNNNNNNNNNNNNNNNNNNNNNNNNNNNNNNNNNNNNNNNNNNNNNNNNNNNNNNNNNNNNNNNNNNNNNNNNNNNNNNNNNNNNNNNNNNNNNNNNNNNNNNNNNNNNNNNNNNNNNNNNNNNNNNNNNNNNNNNNNNNNNNNNNNNNNNNNNNNNNNNNNNNNNNNNNNNNNNNNNNNNNNNNNNNNNNNNNNNNNNNNNNNNNNNNNNNNNNNUAAUCUAUUCGUAGGCUCGCUGGGCGGUGAUGAGUAGGAUGAGAUCUAUCAUGUAAUCGAGUUAGUUUUGACGGGGAUUGAUCCCUAGUAUCCACUAUGUUCUGAGAUUGAUGUUGCUACUACUUUGCCAUGCUUAAUGCUUGUCACUAGGGCCCGAGUGCCAUGAUUUCAGAUCUGAAAUUAUUAUGCUGUCACCAAUAUAUGUAUGUUUUAGAUCCGAUAUUGCAAGUUGUAGUUACCUACUAUGUGUUAUGAUCCGGCAACCCCGGAGUGACAAUAACCGGAACCACUCGAGGUGAUGACCAUAGUUUGAGGAGUUCAUGUGUUCACCAAGUGCUAAUGUGUUGGUCUGGUUCUUUAUUAAAAGGAGAACCUUAAUAUCCCGUAGUUUCCUUUUGGACCCCGUUGCCACGGGAGGGAUGGACAAUAGAUGUCAUGCAAGUUCUUUUCCCUAAGCAUGUAUGACGACACAUGGAAUGCAAGCCUACAUCACAUUGACGAACGGGAGCUAGCCACAUAUCUCUCCGUGUUAUAACUGUUGCAUGAUGAAUAUCAUCCAAACAAAUCACCAACCCAUUGCCUACGAGUUUGUCCUAGUACUGCCGUUACUUGUCUUGCUCUGAUGCUGUUACUUGUCUUGCUCUGCUGUUACUUGUCUUGCUCAGCUGCUACUAUUGCUACUACUGUCGCUUGCUGUGUUGCUACUUGCUACUGCUGUCACUACUGAUGUUCCUUUCCACGAACAGACAAUUUCCGUCAACGAGGCAACUUGGCGCCAUUGAUACAAUCGUUAGGAAUAGUCUGCCAUCAACAGAUCGUUUCUGACACCGUUGUUAUCAUACUACUUUGCUGUUACUACUUUGCUUGCAGAUACUAAUCUUUUACGAGGCAACUUGGCGCCAUUGAUACAAUCGUUAGGAAUAGUCUGCCGUCAACAGAUCGUUUCUGACACCAUUGUUAUCAUACUACUUUGCUUGCAGAUACUAAUUUUUCAGGUGUGGUUGAAUCUGACACAUUCAGCUGCUAAUACUUGAGAGUAUCCUCUCACGUCCUAUAGGCGUACCAACAAAUUUGGGUCGAAUACUCUACCCUCGAAAACUGCUAUGAUCCCACGCGCUGGUGGGCCGUCAACAACAUUCUUCUAGUUUUGAUUGCCGGAGAGUGCUAGCAGCAUUCUUCGUGAGCGACUCUGAAAUUUGCUAGAAAUGAUUUAAUGCGCCUUUAGCACAUAAAUUGGGCAUCUCUCCAGGGCAUUUUUUUGUAGUGAUGAUUAUCCCAAUAACUAAUUGCAUUGCUUGUUGGUUCUCAAUAAAGAUUAUGCUUCUGGCGCCGUUGCCGGGGAGGUAUUGCUAUAUUCUCUGAGUCACUUGGGAUUUAUAUCUGCUGAUCACUAUGAAGAAUCUGAAGGAUCCGAAAACCGAAGUCUUGCCCUCAACUACGAGGGGAGGUAAGGAAUUGCCAUCUAGCUCUGCACUUGAUUCACCUUCAGUUAUGAGUAAGUUUGCGACAUCACCUCCUCCUAGAAAUCUUGAUAUGUCACAUGUGCUUGAUGAUGCUUAUGAUGCUACUGCUAGAGAUGCUAUGCUUGAUACUAUGCCUGAUACUAUGCUUGAUACUGCCAGAGAUGCUAUGCUUGAUACUGCUAGAGAUGCUAUGCUUGAUACUAUGCCUGAUACUAUGCUUGAUACUGCCAGAGAUGCUAUGCUUGAUACUGCUAGAGAUGCUAUGCUUGAUACUGCUUUGCCUGAUGAUGCUAGAGAUGCUAUUUUGCCUGAUGAUGCUAUGCUUGAUACUGCUAGAGAUACUACUUUGCCUGAUGUUCCACUAGGGGUAUUCCUUGAUGCUCAUAUUGCUAGAGUAACUGCCAAUGCUCGUGAUGCUUCUGAAACUGCUGAUACUAUUGAGAUAGAACCUGCUUUUGCUCCUGCUAGAUCUAGCUCUCCUAGAUAUGAAUUGCCUGAUAUACCUGAGGGUUACGUUAUGGAGGGAGAGAUAGCUGAGGAUUUUCUUGCGUGUAAGGAUGCCUAUGACGCUCAGAAAUUACUUCUCAAGUGGAAGGAAAAAUCUCUGAAAGCUAGGAUGAAAUACGACCCGAAGUUUGCCAUUUCACCUAUCUUUAUCACCGAUAAGGAUUAUGAAUUCUUUGUCGAUCCUGAGAUAAUCUCUCUAGUGGAAUAUGAUCCUUUUCACGGUUAUGAGUCUGAGACGGUCGUAGCCCAUCUUGCCAAACUACACGAUAUAGCCACCCUUUUCACUAUUGAGGAGAAGAUCCGCCACUACUAUAUCCUUAAGUUGUUUCCUUUCUCUCUAAAGGAUGACGCUAAAGCCUGGUUCACCUCUCUUACUCCUGGAUGUGUGAGUAGUCCCCAGGGUAUGGUCUAUUACUUCUGUGAGAAAUAUUUCNNNNNNNNNNNNNNNNNNNNNNNNNNNNNNNNNNNNNNNNNNNNNNNNNNNNNNNNNNNNNNNNNNNNNNNNNNNNNNNNNNNNNNNNNNNNNNNNNNNNUGUGUACCAGACCUGACAUAAACCUUGCUAUAAGCUUGGUAGGAAGGUACCAAAGUAAUCCCGGAGCGGAACACUGGACAGCGGUCAAGAAUAUCCUUAAGUACCUGAAAAGGACUAAGGAAAUGUUUCUCGUUUAUGGAGGUGACGAAGAGCUCGUCGUAAAGGGUUACGUCGAUGCUAGCUUCGACACAGAUCCGGAUGACUCUAAGUCACAGACCGGAUACGUAUAUGUGUUGAAUGGUGGGGCGGUGAGCUGGUGGAGCAGCAAGCAAGAAGUCGUGGCAGCAUCUACAUGUGAAGCGGAGUACAUAGCUGCUUCAGAAGCGGCUCAUGAAGGAAUUUUGAUGAAGGAGCUCAUCACCGACCUUGGAGUGGUUCCAAGCGCGUCGGGUCCUAUGACACUCUUCUGUGAUAACACUGGAGCCAUUGCCAUAGCCAAAGAGCCCAGGUUUCACCGGAAGACGAAGCACAUCAAGCGCCGCUACAACUCCAUCCACGACCAUGUCCAGAGUGGAGUGAUAGAUAUUUGUGAAGUGCACACGGAUCUGAAUAUUGCAGACCCGUUGACUAAACCUCUUCCACGAGCAAAACAUGAUCAGCACCAUAAUGCUACGGGUGUUCGAUACAUCACAAUGUAACUAGAUUAUUGACUCUAGUGCAAGUGGGAGACUGUUGGAAAUAUACCCUAGAGGCAAUAAUAAAAUGGUUAUUAUCAUAUUUCCUUGUUCAUGAUAAUCGUCUAUUUUUCAUGCUAUAAUUGUAUUAAUAGGAAACAGUAAUACAUGUGUGAAUAAAUAGAUCAGAAUAUGUCCCUAGCAAGCCUCUAGUUGGCUAGCUCAUUAGUCAAUAGAUGAUCAUGGUUUCCUGAUCAUGGGCAUUAGAUGUCAUUGAUAACGGGAUCACAUCAUUGGGAGAAUGAUGUGACGCCUGAUCAUGGACAUUGGAUGUCAUUGAUAACAGGAUCACAUCAUUGGGAGAAUGAUGUGGUGGACAAGACCCAAUCCUAAGCCUAGCACUAGAUCGUAUUGUUCGUAUGCUAAUGCUUUUCUAAUGUCAAGUAUCUUUUCCUUCGACCGUGAGAUUGUGCAACUCCCGGAUACCGUAGGAGUGCUUUGGGUGUAUCAAACNNNNNNNNNNNNNNNNNNNNNNNNNNNNNNNNNNNNNNNNNNNNNNNNNNNNNNNNNNNNNNNNNNNNNNNNNNNNNNNNNNNNNNNNNNNNNNNNNNNNAAAAGAGUUAGAAAAACAUUGUACUCCAUAUUACACUCGGUAACAAGCUCCAGGAGCACUGAGAUGUAGGGCUAUUACCUCCACCGUAGAGGGGCCUGAACUCAUACAACCUCAUCGUAGCUAGGACUCUGCCCAUCUCAUUCGUACCCUACACAUCUACUGUGAGGCUUAUACCCACGACAGCCACCUUCCCCGUCGCGGGUCAACCAUCUCCGACAUGCAAAGCACGAACAGGCAUCCCCGUUGCGCAACCGUAGACUCCACAUUGACAAUCACGUGAAGCGGGAGACGACGUCCCCCAACGAGUCCGCCGCGUGAAGGACGAGUCAACAUCGCCCCCACCGCACAACUAGUAUGGGCGGAUCGACGGGCCCUCCUCGUCACCACGACGCCACCAUCGCUCGAUAAAGGAGGAGAUGUCGCCCGCGGUCCCUAAGGCGAGUGGCUGCAUCCUUCACUACCUCGAAAGCGACCGUUUCGGCGAUGCCUCCGGCUCUCGGGCUGUUGUAUCCGAGGCCGAGCGUGCGGCGUGACAACAGGUGAGGUAUGACGGUGCAAUGCCGGUCGCCCCUCCGCAUUCGUCAAGAUGGACAUGGCGCCAGAACGGGUUCGCGACAACCCGGACCUCGCGGCGCCUUGAUGAAGAGAUGGCCAAGAUCGAGGAGUGGUCCUUUAGCGACUGCACUGCCAUCGCCGGCAGGGGCAAGGCUGCCAGGGCGCCUUCGGCAUUGGCCAAGGCAACCCUUCGCACAACGCAACAAGAGGCGAAACGGCUCCUUCGCGAGCGUCAGGCAACUGCCGGACAAGUCUGUCGUGGCCCUCCGGCAUCCUUGUACCGUUGGAGGGACGACGAUGAUGGCAUGGACGUCAACAGUGGUGCGGCAGGACAAAGCGACAACGCUUACAAGGUGUUCAUCCGAUAUAAGGUUUAGUAUUUUUUUGGUUUUUAGUAAAAACGGUCGAAAUAUUGUGUGUGUAUGCAGGGGCGGACUUAGAAAGAAAUUGAGCCGGUGUCCUCACAUAAAUAAUACACAUCAUUUGUUUUAAUUUGAAGAUGUCACACACUACACAUACAUAAAGUAUCCCAAAGAAAUAUAUUUUUUACCCGGUGCCCUGUGACCCCUGGCUCUACCUGGGCACACCCCUGUAUGUAUGUAAAUUAUAUCCGAACUUGAAUAAAAUUCAUCAGGUUUGAACGAAUUUUGUCCCUUUAAUUUAAAUUGUUGGUCAAAUGUAUAAGAAUAACAUUGGAUGUCGAUCUGUUAUAUCCAUGUUCGCGGACUGAUUCGUUCUAUGUGUAAACGGAUACGGGAGAAAAUUCGAGGGAUGCCGUUGAAGAUCCCUGGUCGCUUNNNNNNNNNNNNNNNNNNNNNNNNNNNNNNNNNNNNNNNNNNNNNNNNNNNNNNNNNNNNNNNNNNNNNNNNNNNNNNNNNNNNNNNNNNNNNNNNNNNNCACCUGCAGCUCCGGCAGACACUCAUGGGUGAUGUCCACGGCGCAGGUAGCCGCGCGGCACGGCGCGCCGCCGACGGGCUGGAAGCUCAUGGGCACAUUGAACCCGUCUAUGACGGACAGGUCGAAAAAGUCCCGGUUCCCGCCCUGGCCGAGCGUGUACUCGGCCAGCGUGGCUGGCUGCUCGCCGGACACGCGGCAGACCAGAGCGCCCGCGCAGUCGCCGGUGAUGCACCGGCCACGGCCGCUGCGGUCGAAGGUGCACCCCGUGCGCGGCCACACCCUGGCGCCCGCCGUGCCUGCGGGCAUAUUGAGCUGCCACGACUGGCCCGGGUCGAGACGCGCGCCGCCGCCUGGGAGCGCGCCUGGCCAUAUCGUAUAGGAGCACCGGUUCACCACGGUUAUGGUGGUCGCAUCGGUGGCAGCAGCAGCGGCCGCGAUCACGAGAGCGAUGAGGUGGACGACGCCGGAGAACGCCAUGGCUUGUGCCGUUCUUGUUUGUGAAUAUGGUGGUUUGGUGCUCUGGCAGUGGAGGCCAUUAUAUUGCCGCGCGUCCAUGGGCUGCUAUAAUAGCCCGGUUUGGUAGCAUGUCCAAAUCCAAACCAGCUAGCCUAUACAUUUUCCACGGCGGCGUUUGCUGUAUGCAAUUUAUUUAUUUUCGGAGAAAUGCAUCAUGCAAUUAAUAGAGCAGUUGUUGCGGGUCCAAAUCCAGAACAGUAUGAUUAUAUCUAAGUGCAGCUAGAAGGCCAGAAUCAGUGAAUCACUACAACAACAAAAAAUCAUUAUUUCUGACCGGGUCUAAUCUCCUUGUUAGCGAGCCCUUCACCAGACUAUUGGAAAGUUAGCAUCCACUUGAACCUCUUGAAUUUUUGUCUAAAAGGACCAUCUCUCGAAACGAUUUGCUAAAAAAGACCACAUGCGGUACCUAAAGACAAAAAAGACUCCCUCUUCGCGUGGCGGCAGGCACGUCAGGCGACACGUGACACCUGCCGCUACCAGCCGAGGAGGCUGGGACCUGCCGCCACGGCGCCAGGCGGCCGGCCUCCCUUUCCGUUGCAGCUCGCCCGCGAUGUAAUGGACACAAAGGCAGUGGGCCUUGCCGCCACCAGCCGAGGCGGCUGGGACUUGCCGCCACGGUGCCAGGCGGCCGGCCUCCCUUUCCGUUGCAGCUCGCCCCCGAUGUAAUGGACACAAAGGCAGUGGGCCCUGCCGCCACCGUGUGAGGCGGCCGGCCCGCGCAACAAAAGCUGCCCCGAAGCAAAAGGUGCUACACACGUAGCCACACAGCAGGUUAACGCAUAUGCAUGCAAAAGCUGCUCCGGUUUGCAUGGAAUUAAAUCAUGGCACCUGUGCAGCAAAGAACAUGCAUAUGCAUGCAUGCAUACGCGGGACGAGAUUCCCGCCGACCGCCUUACGCGGUGGCGGCAAGGCCACUGCCUCUGUGCCCGUUACGUCGCGGGCGAGCUGCAACGGAAAGGGAGGCCGGCCGCCUGACGCCGUGGCGGCAGGCCCCAGCCGCUUCGGCUGGGGGCUANNNNNNNNNNNNNNNNNNNNNNNNNNNNNNNNNNNNNNNNNNNNNNNNNNNNNNNNNNNNNNNNNNNNNNNNNNNNNNNNNNNNNNNNNNNNNNNNNNNNUUCCGGUCGAGAAUCCUAGUUUCCACAUAUUUCCCUCAUUGUGAUGUUCCUUGCAUAUUCAGAGAGAAAAAGGCAUAAGAAUUGCAUAAAAAUUUGGAAUAUUGGACAAGAACAAAGUAAAAUUUACAAGAAAUCAUCAUGCAAAAUGGACGUAUCACACAUGCAGCAGCUCCAUCACUAGUUAUUUGUCGUCGCUCGCCGUCGGGAGCAAGCCACNNNNNNNNNNNNNNNNNNNNNNNNNNNNNNNNNNNNNNNNNNGCCGUCGGGAGCAAGCCACCGCCGCGGAGGCUCGAAUAUGGGGACACACUUGCGCUCGCCCGGAUGCCCUGCACCACCUUCGCGUGCGAGAAGGAGAGGCUCCUCCGCCACCGUCGUCAGCCGCCCGGGCUUAGCCCGGUGGUUUCCUCCAGCGGCGACGGAGGGAAGGUAUGGGAUGGGGAGUGGCCGACAGCUAAGGUUGGGGCCCCUCGUACAAACAAGGUUGGGGCAAUCUCCACAACUUAAUUGGAGGCUCCCAACAACACCAUGAAGCUUCACCACAAUGGAUUGUGGCUCUGAGAUGACCUCAAAUGCUCGGGGCAAUAUCCACAACCUAAUUGGAGACCCCGACGCUUGCCCGGAGCUUUACACCACAAUGAUUGAGCUCCGAGGCACCACCGAGCUUCUAGGAUGCCAAAGCACCCAAGAAGAACAAGCUCUAGGGUACCAAGCACCCAAGAGUAAUAAGUUUCUCAAACUUCACUUCCACGUAUCACCGUUGAGAACUCAAACCUAUGCACCAAAUGCAAUGGCAAUGGCACACGGAGUGUGCAAGUCCUUCUCUCCCAAAUCCCUCCACAACAACUAAUGCUAUGGAAGAAAAUGAGAGUAAGAAUGAAGAAGAGCACGAAGAACUCCAAGAUCUAGAUCCAAGGGGUUCCCCUCACGUGGAGGAUAAAGUGAUUGGUGGAAAUGUGGAUCUAGAUCUCCUCUCUAUUUUCCCUCAAGAACUAGCAAGAAUCAUUGGAUUGGGAGUAAGCAAGCUCGAAGAAGGUCAACAAUGGGUGCAAAUACGAGCUCAAAAGAUGGGGUUCAACGGGGAAGAAGACCCCGUUUCAUAGGAGAGAAAAAUCCAAGCGUUACCCCCUCAGCCCGCACAUGAGCGGUACGACCGCUCGAGGGAGUGGUACUGCCGCCCAUAAGAGGUAGUACUGCUCAAAUGGGGAGCAGUGCUACCUCUAGGGCACAGGGCAACAGUGAACGAGGGAUGCAGAGGCCGGUAUUACUGUCAGAGUGGUACUACCGUUGCGAGGAGCAGUACUGCCGACCAUAAGAGGUAGUACCACCUCCUAUAUCUGCUCAGGACAUGCUGCCGAUCUAUCCUAGAAAUACCNNNNNNNNNNNNNNNNNNNNNNNNNNNNNNNNNNNNNNNNNNNNNNNNNNNNNNNNNNNNNNNNNNNNNNNNNNNNNNNNNNNNNNNNNNNNNNNNNNNNGGAUAUCAAUGUGAAUGAGUAGGGACUGCCAUACAAAUGAUGCACUAGAGCUAAGAGUAUGUGAAAGCUCUUAAAGAAAACUAGUGGGUGUGCAUCCAACUUGCUUGCUCAUGAAGACCUAAGGCAAUUUUGAGGAAGCCUAUCAUUGGAAUAUACAAGCCAAGUUACAUAAUGAAAAUUUCUCACUAGCUAUUUGGAGGUGACAAAACGAGAGACUCUCAAUCAUGAAGAUCAUGGUGCUUAAUAUGCACAAGUGUGGAAAGGUGGUAGCAUUGUCCCUUCUAGAACAUGGUGCUAUUUUGAAGCACAAGUGUGGAAAAAGAUAGUAGCAUUGUCCCUUCUCUCUUUUUCUCUCAUUUUUUUAUGGGCUCUUUGGCCUCUUUUUUUUGGUGGGCAUAUUUGGCCUCUUUUAUUUCCUCACAUGGGACAAUGCUCCAUCAAUGAUGAUCAUCACACUUUCAACUCAAAACUUAGAGCAACGAUGACUCUAUAUGGAAUGCCUUUGGUAGUGUACCGUGGGAGUGAUAUAGCAUGGCAUAGACAUUAAUGGAAACAUCAUGCUAACUAUCUUACGAUCAUGCAAUAGAAAUGUAAACGUGGUGGCACAUAUCAUGGUGGUAGUUGCAUGGCAAUAUAUCUCGGAAUGACUUUGAAAAGGCCAUAGUAGGUAGGUAUGGUGGCUGUUUUGAGGGAGGCUAAUGGUGGGUUUUGUGCACCGGCGAAAGUUGCACGACACUAAGAAGAUGGUGAUGGUGGAAGGUGAAAGUGCAUCUAAACCAUGGACUCAACAUUAGUCAUGAAGAACUCAUAUACUUGUUGAAAUUUUUUUAUUAGUAAUCUAAACAAAGCAUUCAACGCAUACUCCUAGGGGAAGGGUUGGUAGUAUAAACCAUCGUGCGAUCCCGACCGCCACACAAAGGAUGACAAUCAAUAGACUAAUCAUGCUCAGAUUUCAUCACGUAGCGGUUCACCAUACGUUCAUGCUACGGGAAUCACUAACUUCAACACAAGUAUUUAUAGAUCCACAACACCUUACUAGCAUAACUUCAAUACUACCAUAGCCACAACUCAAAACUAAUUGAGAUGNNNNNNNNNNNNNNNNNNNNNNNNNNNNNNNNNNNNNNNNNNNNNNNNNNNNNNNNNNNNNNNNNNNNNNNNNNNNNNNNNNNNNNNNNNNNNNNNNNNNGAAGAAUUGGCUUACACUCGCCACAUGCUACAUCAGAGUCACAUCAGUACAUUACAUAAUCAUCAAGAGUAAGAGCAGGGUCCGGCUACGGACGAAAACAAACGACAAAAGAAGAACGACGUCCAUCCUUGCUAUCCCAGGCUGCCGGCCUGGAACCCAUCCUAGAUCGAUGAAUAAUAAGAAGAAGAAGCAACUCCAAAUGAACAAUCAACGCGCUCGCGUCAAGAAACCUGUACCUGUACCUGCNNNNNNNNNNNNNNNNNNNNNNNNNNNNNNNNNNNNNNNNNNNNNNNNNNNNNNNNNNNNNNNNNNNNNNNNNNNNNNNNNNNNNNNNNNNNNNNNNNNNNNNNNNNNNNNNNNNNNNNNNNNNNNNNNNNNNNNNNNNNNNNNNNNNNNNNNNNNNNNNNNNNNNNNNNNNNNNNNNNNNNNNNNNNNNNNNNNNNNNNNNNNNNNNNNNNNNNNNNNNNNNNNNNNNNNNNNNNNNNNNNNNNNNNNNNNNNNNNNNNNNNNNNNNNNNNNNNNNNNNNNNNNNNNNNNNNNNNNNNNNNNNNNNNNNNNNNNNNNNNNNNNNNNNNNNNNNNNNNNNNNNNNNNNNNNNNNNNNNNNNNNNNNNNNNNNNNNNNNNNNNNNNNNNNNNNNNNNNNNNNNNNNNNNNNNNNNNNNNNNNNNNNNNNNNNNNNNNNNNNNNNNNNNNNNNNNNNNNNNNNNNNNNNNNNNNNNNNNNNNNNNNNNNNNNNNNNNNNNNNNNNNNNNNNNNNNNNNNNNNNNNNNNNNNNNNNNNNNNNNNNNNNNNNNNNNNNNNNNNNNNNNNNNNNCCGAUGCACAAGAUAUCUCGUCAAAGGUAAAACUAAUCCAGCAAGGCCGCCCGGCGUGUCAACGAUCCCGAUAGGAGCCGUGUAUCUCGUUCUCAGGACACGACGGAUAAGUGACGCGUACGAGUGCCAAACCUCGAGUUUCCUCACGGUGGACCCGCACAGUGCUCUAUUUUGGACCAGCACCAUCAACACUGGCCCUACCUGUAUUAUGUAGAAUUACUCCUCGGGUAGCGCUAACUCCCUAUGCAUUUCAAUUUAACAGAAUUAUUAUGUUGGGCAAAUGUAGUACCAAUGUUGGGCCUUGCCAGACCAGCUUUAAUCUAAAACGAAUUAUCAAGGGGGUCCCCAUAACAACCCCGAUCGUGUUAGGAGCGCUCAAUUAUGGAACAUAACACCGGUAGCCGAAACUAAGGGGGCAAAGGUGGAACAAAACACCAGGCUAGAAAGGCCGAGCCUUCCACCUUUUACCAAGUAUAUAGGUGCAUUAAAUUAAAUAGCAUUUAAUAUGGUGAUAUAACAAGGAACCUAUGUUAUCACAUGGAAGCAACUGCACCUGCAACUAGCAACGCUGACACAAGGUUAAGCAAGUAGUAACUUAGCCAAUCAGUGGUUUGCUAGGUUGAACAGGUUGAAGGUUUUCAUGGCAUUGUUGAGAGGCUGAUAUUUAACAUGUGUGUGACAGCCCGAGACCGACGUUCCAGAAGAUUCCCCUUUCUUUCCGUUUUCGUCGUGUGCCUAUUUUAUUUUUUCGCGUCAUCAUCGCAUCAUGCGCAUCAUCUGCAUUGCAUCGACAUCUCCGUUGCCGCCAGUUUUCAAACUUCCAUCCGUUGUUAGUUCCCGGUUCACGUCGUUGUUCGUUCCGAGCCUGACUGCACACGCACGCGCCCGCGGCAUCGUUGUAACUUUGUUUUUAAAGCUUGUAUAAAACUUUCUCCGGUUGAGCUGGAAUUUGUCGUGCGGCAUUAUUUAUAUAUAGGUAGGCCGCCUGUCAAAUUUGGUCGCGAUCGGAGUCCGUCUGGUACCCAAACGGUCGACCAUAGCGGCACCGUAUUCGGUCUAUCGUCGGGCGUCUUUCGGUGUUUGAAACCCCAAUGCCGGGCUGCCCGUUUUCCCUCUCUUCUCUGGCUAGCCUCUCUACACAGUGCACCGACCUGCGCGCAAUCCAGUCUGAAAACCUCCAGGAACCCGAGCCCGGCGGUCGUGACCGUUGGAUCCGGAUCAACACCGUUUUACCGCAAAACAUCUUUGGUCUGUCUAUUGGACUCCCUAACCUAAUUAUCUGGACCAUCCGAUCUAAAUCGGAGGGUCUAGAUGAACCUGUCCCUAACCUAUUUUGGACAAACCCUAACUUCUAGGAGGUUUGUCCCGUCCAUCCCAUCUCCCCGCCGCCACUUCUCUUCCUUCCUCGGAUCUGUAGUCAGCCCCGCUCCCACCUUCUCCUGCGCGAACGCGCCCCUGUCAUAACGAGCCACAGCAGCAGGGACCUAGGAGCCUCGCGCCCGCCGCCAGGUGCCCGCACCUCGAUCUCCUGAGCGUGUUGCCCGACGCGACCGCUGCCUCGACCUCCCAGCGCCGCAAGGCCCAUAUCCUUCUUCUCUUCCCUGUCUCACUUGUUCUCUCUCUCUCACAUUUCUUUCUCUCUGUUGGAUGUGCGCAGGAGCUGCCCUGCCAUGGCCGUGCCCAACGCGAGAUUUAGUCGCCGCCGAAGCUCCUGGGAGGCGUGUGAUGACGGGAAUCGGUCCCUGCAGACCGGACCCAGCCCGAUCCGGUGAUCCCUGGCCCGAUCCGACGAUCUCCGUCGGCGUGCCCCCGUCUUCCUCCUGCUGUGCGUUGACCUGUAGGAGCUCCCCAUCUCGCGCGCCUGCUGGCGUUGGAUGUGUCCAACACACGCAGAGGAGCCGCACGAGCAGCUUCUGCGCCUCACCCGUGCCCGAUCCAUGGAGAGCAGCUCCCAUGCGUCUCCGCGUCGACCUUGCCGCCAAGCCUAGUGCGCCCCUGCUUCCUUCCCCUCGUUGUGCUCUCCCUCUCUCCCUGUCCCUCACCUCUCUUCCUCUUCUCUUUUCUUCUUCAGGUACAACAAUGUCACCAUCGGCCAGGAUCUCCGAGUACAUGCCGCCCCAAGCCACCUCGUUGCCGGGAAUGGAACCCCCGGUACCGAAGCUUUUGAACCCCACCAUUUUUCGUGCCGCCGGACCUCAUCCCCAGGCCGAUUCCGCCAUGGCAUCCCCUGCAUCCCGACCUGCAACAAAGGUGUCCAUGUUCAGUUUCGUUAGGUUCGCGACAUGGUAUGGUCUUGUAGCAAACCACCCAUAUUUCAGCAUAGUUCCUUCACAGUCCAACUGGUUAGAGUGGCAAUCUGCUUCCCAGAGAUCUGUGGUUCGAAUCCCAGUUUUGGCAAUUUAUUUUUGCCCUAUUUUCGUUGAUGUGCCUGUAGAGGGGCUACUUCUUCUGGCGAGUAUCCUGUGAAAUAUCAAAACGGGGUGCUAGCCGAGUUGGUUAGCGCAGUAGUGCUACCUCCUCCUGGAGGUCCAUGGAUCAAAUCACCAUGACUGCAUUCUUUUAGCUUCUGCAUUUAUUUUCGUUUUCAUAGUUUUAAGUAGUGCAUUUGUUUUAUGUCCAGCCAUGCCCCUUUGAAAUCACUAGCAUCUGCAUGUCAUCUUGGUUCCCCUGUCAAUCCACAUGCAGGAGGUCCUGGGGUCAAAUCCCAUAGAGGCCGAAUUAUUAUGUUUCUGUUUUUUUUUCUUUUGCUUUUCUUCUUGUAGUUUUUUUUGCUAGUUGCAGAUACCCUAUAAUCUGCCUCCGGCACAUGGGGAACCCGGUAAUCGGGAUCACCCCAUCAUUUUGUUCGAAAUGAUAUGCACACACCUCCAAUUCGUUGCACUGGUAUCUCGUCGAGCUAUCAGUACCGGAACGUGUUGUGACUGUCAUUGCAUGUGUGAUGCAUCCUUGGCAUGCAAUCUUGUGUUGCUCGUAUCUUUUAGUUCGUAACUCUGUUGGAAUUGGUCCAUAUAUGUAAAUGGACUAGUAUGACGUGUAGUUUCACGUGCUCCACUUUGUUUCGCUGUUUAACAAACUUAAAAUGUGAUUAGGACAAAUCUGGACAGAAUUAGAAUUUAACGCGUGGGGUCAUUUCGGAGAUGCUAUAUGUCGUUUCCGGCCUCAUUUAAAAUGCCUAGAUAGGUAGUUUAAUUUGUGCUUCACCCCGUGCCAUGCUAACAACAUUUUAAUAUUGUCGUGUAAAUAAACGGGAGUGAACUAAUAAUUAAAUGUGGAGUUUCGUCGAUAUGCAACUCGUUGCAUAUCGAGCUUCACUUAAUGUGUAGUGUUUGAUUGUUGUGAUUGUCAUGGCUUGCAUUAGACCGUUCAUGCAUCAUAUGUGUCUUGCAUCGUGUGGUGAUUCUCGUGUGUUGAUGCUUGUUUCCGGUUUCCUCCGUCUCGAUAGAGUUCCGCAAGCGUGUCGGAUGUGAGGACCGUUCGACUACGUCGGUUCGUCUGCUUCACGGAGGCAUUCUUCUUCCAAGCGGGAUCUCAGGCAAGAUGACCAUUUCCCCAGAUACCAAUACUAUCAUUGCCAUGCUAGUUUUACCGCUUCUACCGUUUAUGUCUCGUUGCCUACCACAUGUUAAAUAUCGGCCUCUCAACAAUGCCAUGAAAACCUUCAACAUGUUCAACCUAGCAAACCAUUGAUUGGCUAUGUUAUCGCUUGCUUAACCCUGUAUUAGUGUUGCUAGUUGCAGGUGCAGAUGCUUCCAUGCGAUAACAUGGGUUCCUUGUUAUAUCACCAUAUUUAAAUGCUAUUUAAUUUAAUGCACCUAUACACUUGGUAAAAGGUGGAAGGCUCGGCCUUUCUAGCCUGGUGUUUUGUUCCACCUUUGCCCCCUUAGUUUCGGCUACCGGUGUUAUGUUCCAUAAUUGAGCGCUCCUAACACGAUCGGGGUUGUUAUGGGGACCCCCUUGAUAAUUCGUUUUAGAUUAAGACUGGUCUGGCAAGGCCCAACUUUGGUACUACAUUUGCCUAAACACCUAACAAAAUUGCAUAGGGACUUUUCGGACCCCGAGGAUAAUUUAAUCAACCCCCGGGCCAGUGCUCCUCAUGAGUGUUGGUCCAAAUUGGCAGACUACGGGGCCACCGCGGGGCAACCCGAGGUUUGGUUCUCCUAGUGUGACCCAUCUUCCGUGUCCUGAGAACGAGGUACGCGACUCCUAUCGGGAUCGUCGACACGUCGGGCGGCCUUGCUGGAUUAGUUUUACCUUUGACGAGAUAUCUUGUGCUUCGGGAUUCCGAUGAUGCUUUGGGUAAUCUCAGAGUUGAGGUUUUCCACUAGGGAAUCCGACGAGAUCGCGAGCUUCGUGAUUGAGGAUUUCUAUGCGGCUUGUGGUAAUUUGUGAUGGACUAGUUGGAGCACCCCUGCAGGGUUAAAUCUUUCGGAAAGCCGUGCCCGCGGUUAUGUGGCAACGUGGAAACUUUGUUUACCACUGGUUCUAGAUAACUUGAAGUUAAUUUAAUUAAAAUAUGCCAACUGUGUGCGUAACCGUGACUGUCUCUUUCGUGAGUUCUUCUCCGAUCGAGGACACGGUGGGGUUAUGUCUGACGUAGGUAGGUGUUCAGGAUCAUCCAUUUGAUCAUCAGUAGUUCACGUCCGUUAUGCGUAGAUUUUCCCCCUCUUAUCACUUGUACUCGUAAGUUAGCCACCAUAUAUAUGCUUAGCCGCUGCUGCAACCUCACCACUUAACCAUGCCUCACCCAUUAAGCUUUGCUAGUCUUGAUACCUUUGGAAAAGAGAUUGCUGAGUCCCCUGUGGCUCACAGAUUACUACAACACCAGUUGCAGGUACAGAUAAAGGUUACCUGACGCGAGCGCGUUGAUUGUUCAUUUGGAGUUGCUUCUUCUUCUUCUUCAUUGAUCUAGGAUGGGUUCCAGGCCGGCAGCCUGGGAUAGCAAGGAUGGACGUCGUUCUUCUUUUGUCGUUUGUUUUCGUCCGUAGCCGGACCCUGCUCUUACUCUUGAUGAUUAUGUUUUGUCGUUUAUUUUCAUCCGUAGUCGGACCCUGCUCUUACUCUUGAUGAUUAUGUAAUGUACUGAUGUGACUCUGAUGUAGCAUGUGGCGAGUGUAAGCCAAUUCUUCAUAUGUAUCUCUUCUUUUCAGUACAUGUACUUGUAACGAUAUCCGUUCUUGCGACACGACGAGAUGCGCUUCUAUCCCUGACGAGGCCCUCGUGCCAAAUUGAGGAUAGGGUCGCAUCUUGGGCGUGACAAUGUGGUAGGCAACGAGACAUAAUCGAUAGAAGCGAUGAAACUAGCAUGGCAAUGAUAGUAAUGGUAUCUGGGGAAAUGAUCAUCUUGCCUGAGAUCCCGCUUGGAAGAAGGAUGCCUCCGUGAAGCAGACGAACCGACGUAGUCGAACGGGUCCUCACAAUCCGGCACGUUGCGGAACUCUAUCGAGACGAAGCAAACCGGAAACACAAAUCAAUACACGGAAUUCACCACACGAUGCACGACACAUAUGAUGCAUGAGCAGCUGAACACAUGCAAGUCACGGCAUGUCAAACCACACAAUCAAACACUACACGUUAAGUGAAGUUCAAUAUUCAAUGGGUUGCAUAUUGACGAAACUCCACGUUAAUUAUUUAGUUCACACCCGGUUAUUUACACGGCAAUAUUAAUGUUGUCAAGCAUGCACGAGGUGAAGCGGAAAUUAUACUACCUAUCUAGACAUUUUAAAUGAGGUCGGAAAUGACAUAUAGCAUCUCCGAAACGACCUCACAUGUUAAUUUACAAUUCGGUCCAGAUCUGAACUAACACAUUUAAUUAGUUGUUAAACAGCAAAACAAAUAGUUUCACGUGAUUCUACACGUCAAGACAAGCAAUUUACACAUAGAGGUCAUCUCCAAUGGAGCUACGGGUCAAAAGUUACAAGCACCGCAAGAUAUGAUGGCAUGAAUGCAAUAUGUGUGCAACGGCGGUCACGAGCACUUCAGAACAUACAACCAACAAGAGGAAAUGAAACUACACGAGAUUCUAAGCAAGUUUCAUGUAGGAUACGAUCAAAUCGGAGCUACGGUUCAACAACUACGAGCAAAACAAGAAAUCACUACAAUCUGCCAAAAUCAGCCACAUAGCAUUUUCUACGCCCCACAACUACGGCUACACAACUCCGAUAUGCUCAAGCAAGGCAUGGCACGGAAGAGGGCAAGAAGCACUACUACAAACAACUAACAACAACUAGCAUGGCAUCAUGGAUCACUAGGGAAGGAAGACACAAAAUGGCAUCCCACUCACUAUUUCAGACUUGGUGAAAAUUACUCCUCAUGAAAAUGCAGUUUUCGAUCUGAAGCUAUAUUGACAGCAGCAAAACCUAUAGCUACAGGACUCCAAAUGGCAUGAAAAUUCACAGCAUGCUAGACAAACACAAGGGGUACAACUAACUCCAUUGGACAAACCUCAAAAGAGCUACAGACCACAAGAUACAAGCAAGACAAGACAACAACAAAAUAUAACAGAAUCCAGACUUGGGAAUAUUUCAGCACGUCCAAAUCAGCACUAUUUCUAGCAACUUGAGAGAAAGCAAACCACACCUAAACAUGCAUUUCUAUUGCAACUAAAAAUACCAGGGGUAAGAGUAAACACCCAAGGACAACUCCCUACUUGACAACUCCGUCAAACGAAGCACGGAAUAAAUCCUACGAAUUAAACAAAAGGGCAACACGGCAAAAUAUCGCGCGAACUAACUUGCUCAAAAGUUAAAACUAAUUCCCAUGGAUUUUUCUACCCCGAAAACAUAUAAAAUAUGUGGGGUUGCGCAACAAAAUUAUUGCCACACGUAAAUGCGAGAUAAUCACCUAUAUACGGGAAAAUAAACUACCGGCAAACCCUACACACAAAAAUACCAAUGACCGCUCUAGGAAUCAUGGAAAAAUGGUCCCUAAAACAUGAACAUUAAAUCUACGGUAUACGGGCAGUCCGAACACGCACGAGAAAUAACUACGGAACGGAUCCUAUUGAAACAGCACGCAAAAUGAUGCAUUAGGCACUUCAAACUGCCUCAAAUAAUUAUGCAAGUUAGAAAUUCGAAAUCUACGCGGAAAUCUAGCCAAGAUACAUAUGCUACACGUCGCGAACCGAUUUACGGUUUAAAAGUUACUGGGGUUUACUAACGUCUAUUUUCUGGAAUUUAAAUAAACCUGAAAAUUCCUAAUUCACUAACGGGCCUAACAGACAGGGCGCGACCACUAUCUGACGCCUAGUGCGCGAAAUAUGCAGGCAAGGGGGGAUUCACCUGAGUGGGCCUCGGGCCCAUGACGGCGGGGAGGCAGGCCUGGGGCGGACGUGCGACUGGGCCGAGGGGAGCUCUGCGGGAGGAGGCCGGCUGCGGGGCUAGUGGGCCGAGGGUCCAGGGGCGCAGUCAACGGCCCGGAGGAGGGUUGAUCGUCUCCUCCCGUGCUCCCCAGGAGCACGAGGGCACGGGAAUGGCGGCGGCGCCCCCACUGCCGGUGGCGUGCGGCGUAGGGCCACGGAGGAGAGGCAGAUCCGGUAGACCAGGGGCGGAUCCGACCUCGGGGACCCGUUCCCAACGACGGAAUGGCCGGCGACGAGCCCGACGACGACGCGGAAGGUGCGGGGCGGCGGCGGCUGCUGGUGGCCUUGGGGAAGCCAGGGAGGCAAACCAUGCGCGGGCGGCGGCCGGCUAGACCUGGCGGUGGUUGCCGACGAUGGCGAAGCUGCUGCAGCUGCUCGGGGUGAGGGCUGCGCUCGAACGGCGGCGGCAGGAGGUGGGAGGCACAGGGCAGCGGGGUCGCGCGGAGGCACAGCGCGCAGAUGGGCUGCUCAGGGCCCAGAUGGGCUCGGGCAGGCCCCGAUCUGGGCUGGGAGGGCCGCGCGAGGAAGGAGACAGGGAAGGAGGCGGCGGGGAGCUGGUUGGCUGGGCGCGGAUCCCAAGGAGGCUAGGGUUAGGCCAGAUUAGAAAGGGCUAGCCUUCCUUUUACAACAAGAGGGGCUAGGUUUAGGGAUAGAGACCGUUUUCGGGCCGUUCGAUCGAGAUCGGACGGUCCCCGAAGUGUCCUAGGUUUAGGUUUGGCUUGAUGGGUCGUGCAGCAUGGCUUAGGCAGAGAUGAGAGGGAAGUAGUGCGGCGCGACAACGAAUUUUCAAACACCGACAGACGUCCAACGGUAGACCGAAUACGGUGCCGCUACGGUCGACCGUUUCGGUACCAGACGAUCUCCGAUCGCGACGAAAUUCGACAGGCGGACUAGCUAUAUUAAAAUAAGACCGCACGUCAAAUCUCAACCCGAUGAGAAAAAGUUUUACGCACACUUUUAAAACAGGUUUUCGACGAUGCCGCGGGCGCGCGCGAGUGCGGUCGGGCUCAGAACGGACAACGACGAGAACCGGCAACUAACAACGGAUGCAAGUUUGAAAACUGGCGGCAACGGAGAUGCCGAUGCAAUGCAGAUGAUGCGCAUGAUGCGAUGAUGACGCGACAAAAGAAAAUAGACACACGACGAAAACGGAAUAAAGGGGGAAUCUUCUGGAACGUCGGCAUCGGGCUGUCACAAGCCCCUCCCUUCCCCUAUAUAUACCGGGCACUUUUGGCCAUUGGGAGAUAGACUUUUCCCUCUCUCUCGGCGCAGCCCUUCCCUUCUUCCCCUCCUCUCUGCCGGUGCUUGGCGAAGCCCUGCCAGGAGACCUCAUCUCUCCAUCGACACCACGCCGUCGUGUUGCUGGAGUUCGUCCCCAACCUCUCCCUCCUCCUUGCUGGAUCAAGGUGCGGGAGACGUCACUUUUGGUACUCACACUAUGAAUAUGUGUAACAUCACGAUCGAGAUUCAUCAAGAAUAAACCAUUUACCAGCGGAGCAUGACCAUAAAACAUAUCACUCAUAUAAAUAGAACAACCAUUAUUCUCUGACUUUUGCACGUGUGUUGAACGCGGAGGUGCCGUAGUUCGGCACUAGAUCGGAAUCACUGCGAGUACGACUCCAUCAACCGCGUUCUAGCAACGCUUCCGCUUAGCGAUCUUCAAAGGUACGAAGAUGCUCUUAUCCCUCUCUCGUUGCUGGUCUCUCCAUAGGAAGAUCUGAAUAUGCGUAGGAAAAUUUUGAAUUUAUUCUACGUAACCCAUCAUUCCCGACGUGCAUCGUCACCUCGUCCUUGGCCAGUCUCCGCUUAUUCCGCAGUUCCUGCUUUGAGUUGCAAAUGUGAGCAACAACACCGGUAUCAAAUACCCAGGAGCUACUACGAGCGCUGGUAAGGUACAUAUCAAUAACAUGUAUAUCACAUAUACCUUUAACGUUGCCGGCCUUCUUGUCCGCUAAGUAUUUGGGGCAGUUCCGCUUCCAGUGACCUUUUCCCUUGCAAUAGAAGCACUCAGUCUCAGGCUUGGGUCCAUUCUUUUUCUUCUUCCCGGCAUCUGGCUUACCGGGCGCGGCAACAACUUUGCCGUCUUUCUUGAAGUUCUUCUUACCCUUGCCUUUCUUGAAACUAGUGGUUUUGUUGACCAUCAACACUUGACGCUCUUUCUUGAUUUCUACUUCUUCAGACUUGAGCAUCGAGUACAACUCGGGAAUGGUCUUCUCCAUCCCUUGCAUGUUGUAGUUAAGCACAAAGCCUUUGUAGCUUGGUGGGAGAGACUGGAAGAUUAUGUCGAUUAUAGCAUCAUCCGGAAGUUCGACUCCAAGUGAAGUCAGACGAUCGUGUAACCCAGACAUUUUGAGUAUGUGCUGACUGACAUAACUGUUCUCCUCCAUCUUACAGCUAAAGAACUUGUCGGAGACUUCAUAUCUCUCGACACGGGCAUGAGCUUGAAAAACUAGCUUCAGCUCCUGGAACAUUUCAUAUGCUCCGUGUUGCUCAAAACGCCUUUGGAGCCCCGUUUCUAAACUGUAUAACAUGCCACACCUAACCAGAGAGUGGUCACACUCCGUGUUUGCCAGACGUUCAGGGUGUCCUGGGCUGCUGCGGGAGCGGGAGGGUCACCUAGCGGCGCAUCAAGGACAUAAGCCUUUUUAGCUGCUUCAAGGAUGAGCUUCAAGUUGCGAACCCAGUCCGCAUAGUUGCUACCAUCAUCUUUCAGCUUGUUUUUCUCUAGGAAUGCGUUGAAAUUGAGGUUGACGUUGGCCAUCUACAAUAUUUAUAAAGACAACUUUUAGACUAAGUUCAUGACAAUUACGUUCAUUUAAUCAAAUUAAGUAUGAACUCCCACUUAAAUCGACAUCCCUCUAGUCAUCUAAGUGAUACAUGAUCCAUGUUGACUAACCCGUUUCCGAUCAUCACGUGAGACGGACUAGUCACCAUGGUGAGCAACUUCAUGCUGAUCGUAUUCAAUCAUACGACUCAUAUUCGACCUUUCGGUCUCUUGUAUUCGAGGUCAUGUAUGUACAUGCUAAGCUCUUCGAGUCAACCUAGGUGUUUCGCGUGUGUAAAUCUGGCUUACACCCGUUGUAUGCGAAUGUUAGAAUCUAUCACACCCGAUCAUCACGUGGUGCUUCGAGACAACGAUCCUUCGCAACAGUGCACACUUAGGGAAAUACGUUCUCGAAAUUUUAAGAGGGGUCAUCUUAUUAUGCUACCGUCGUUCUAAGCAAUAAGAUGUAAAACAUGAUAAAAAUCACAAUGCAAUCAUAUAGUGACAUGAUAUGGCCAUUAUCAUCUUUGCUCUUUCGAUCUCCAUCUUCAGGCAUCGCAUGAUCAUCAUCGUCACCGGCGUGACACCAUGAUCUCCAUCAUCAUGAUCUCCAUCAUCGUGUCUCCGUGAAGUCGUCACGCCAACUACUACUAUCACUACUACUAUAGCUAACCGUUAGCAAUGAAGUAAAAGUAGUAAGCACAUGGUGUUGCAUCUCAUACAAUAAAUUAAGACAACUCCUAUGGCUCCUGCCGGUUGUCAUACUCAUCGACAUGUAAGUCGUGAAACCUAUUACAAUAACAUGAUCAUCUCAUACAUCAUACAUGCAACAUCACAACUUUGGCCAUAUCACAUCACAUGUCAAACCGUGCAAAAACAAGUUAGACAUCCUCUAAUUGUUGUUGCAAGUUUUACGUGGUUGAUUUGGGUUUCUAGCAAAAACGCCUUCUUACCUACGUGACAGCCACAACGAUGAUAUGCCAAAGCUAUUUACCCUUCAUAAGGACCCUUUUCAUCAUAUCCAAUCCGACUAGAGUAGGAGAGACAGACACCCGCUAGCCACCUUUAUGCACGGUGUGCAUGUCUGUCGGUGGAACAAGUCUCACGUAAGCGUACGUGUACAGUCGGUCCAGGCCGCUCCAUCCCACAAUACCGCCGGAAAAGAAUAAGACUAGUAGCGGCAAGCAAAUUGACAAAUCAUCGCCCACAACUUUUGUGUUCUACUCGUGCAUAGAAUCUACGCAUAAAAAACAUGGCUCUGAUACCACUGUUGGGUAACGUAGCAUAAAUUCAAAAUUUUCCUACGCAUAUUCAGAUCUUCCUAUGGAGAGACCAACAACGAGAGAGGGGUAAGAGCAUAUUCAUACCUUUGAAGAUCGCUAAGCGGAAGCGUUGCUAGAACACGGUUGACGGAGUCGUACUCGCAGCGAUUCAGAUCGCGGUGUGAUUCCGAUCUAGUGCCGAACUAUGGCACCUGUGCGUUCAACACACGUGCAGCCCGGUGAGGUCUCCCACACCUUGAUCCAGCAAGGAGGAGGGAUAGGUUGGGGAAGAACUCCAGCAGCACGACGGCGUGGUGUCGAUGGAGAGAUGAGGUCUCCCGGCAGGGCUUCGCCAAGCACCGGCAGAGAGGAGGAGAAAGAAGGGCAGGGCUGCGUCGAGGGAGAGGGAGAAGUCUAUCUCCCAAGGGCCAAAACCCCUCUCUAUUUAUAGGAGGAGGGGGAGGGCUGCGCCACCCCUAGGGUUCCCUCCCUAGGGGCCGGCGGCCACUAGAUGGGAGAGCGGGGGGGGGGGGNNNNNNNNNNNNNNNNNNNNNNNNNNNNNNNNNNNNNNNNNNNNNNNNNNNNNNNNNNNNNNNNNNNNNNNNNNNNNNNNNNNNNNNNNNNNNNNNNNNNGGGCUCCGCCCGAGCUCCGCAGAAACGCGAUCUAGAGGUAAAACCAUGGAGAUAUGUGGUCGGGCUGCCGUGGCAAAGUUAUGUCAAAUCAGCCCUAAAACCUCCGUAUAUAUAGGGGGAAGAGGGGGAGCCUUGCCUUGGGGUCCAAGGACCCCCAAGGACUUCGGCCGAGCCAAGGGGGGAAACCCUCCCCUUCCAAACCGAGUCCAACUAGGUUUGGAAGGAGGAGUCCUUCCCCCUUUUCCUACCUCCUCUUUUUUUUCUCUUUGAUUUUCUUCCUAUGGCGCAUAGGGCCUUCUUGGGAUGUCCCACCAGCCCACUAAGGGCUGGUGCGCCACCCCCAAGGCCUAUGGGCUUCCCCGGGGUGGGUUGCCCCCCCCCCCCCCCCGGAGACUCCCCGCCCCAUGAGACCCCUUGGGGCGUGACACCCCUCCCGAUGGUCCCCGGCACCCCUCCCGGCACUCCCGGUACACUACCGAUGAGCCCGAAACUUUUCCGGUAAUGCACGAAAACCUUCCGGUAAUCAAAUGAGGUCAUCCUAUAUAUCAAUAUUUGUUUCCGUACCAUUCCAGAAACCCUCGUGACGUCCGUGAUCUCAUCCGGGACUCCGAACAACAUUCGGUAACCAACCAUAUAACUCAAAUACGCAUAAAACAACGUCGAACCUUAAGUGUGCAGACCCUGCGGGUUCGAGAACUAUGUAGACAUGACCCGAGAGACUCCUCGGUCAAUAUCCAAUAGCGGGACCUGGAUGCCUAUAUUGGAACCUAAAUAUUCUACGAAGAUCUUAUCGUUUGAACCUCGGUGCCAAGGAUUCAUAUAAUCCCGUAUGUCAUUCCCUUUGUCCUUCGNNNNNNNNNNNNNNNNNNNNNNNNNNNNNNNNNNNNNNNNNNNNNNNNNNNNNNNNNNNNNNNNNNNNNNNNNNNNNNNNNNNNNNNNNNNNNNNNNNNNUGAUGAAUAGGGUAAAUUUAAUAAAUAGUUUGGAGUUGGAAAUUGAUACUUAUUUGAUUUCCACUUCAAUUGUUAUGACCAAACAUUGGUCAAUGCAAAUCAGUACCUCGAAAUACUAACUCCAUACAUGUUGGACUAAUUUGUUAUGAGCAUCAGGUUGAAUCAAUUAUAAGGGUACUUGGAAAGAUACCCGGCUUGAAGUGAUGUUUGGAUCCUAAUUCAAACCAACUUCAACUUAAGAAAUGAUAGCCACAUUAGCCCUGCCACCUUUCAUUUCAUGUCUUGAGCAUGCAUCAUAGUGUUGCAUUUCCGUGAAGUAAUUGUUGUUCUUUCUUGUUUGUCGGUGUUGUUCCCCCUCGCUAAACGAUGUUUCCGACGAUGUGAUCGUUGACAUUGAUGAAGACUCAUUGCUAUCUUCAAACGUGUCAGGCAAGCAAACCCCCCUUGAGCAUAUUGAAAUAAACCCACUCUCUCGCUCCUGCUCUCUUUUACUGCAUUAGGACAAACACGAUUCAACUGUACAUGUUAUCGGUAGUUGAACUCAUUCCUCUGCAUGACCUGAUUUUGUCACAGUAAAUAGUUGAAACCACUUAGCAUGAGUAGCAACUGCUUGAGCCUUGUUGUGCUUACUCGUCCAUGCUUUGUUUACAAUGCCUGCUAUGCUUAGAGUCGUGUCGGGUCUGAUCCGUCUGAAUGAUGAAUCGGAAUGGUUGUGUCCAUAUCCUACAGUGUGAGAGUAAAAGUGUGAAUCUGAUUCGGUAAAGGUAGCGAUGAGAGGCCAUGUAGGAGUACAUGGUGGGUUGUCUCAUUGGGACCGUCCUUAAGAACUGAGUUAUGUGUAUGUUAUCCAAGACAAGAUACUACCAUGCAUUGGGCCCUGAAAUAUGACCCCGCUCGGCUUAUUAAUUGCCUAGAUCCCUGUCCAGGAGUUGCAAUUAGUUUCUGGUGUUUGUAGGAAAAGUGUUGGCGGCCGUGUUUAGCUCUUCCCGACGGGGUAGGCUUCUCGGCGGUAGAUACACAGUGGCACGGUGUACCAAGUGGCACCCAGAUGGUGGGCUUGGGAACCCUGCGCGCAUCGUUUGGGGCCGUAGAGGAAACCUCGGCCGGACUUCCUUGCGGGUUCAGUCUCAAAUAGGCGAUAAACCUGGACUAGGGUCUUGUGUGGUUAACGGUCGUGGCCGACACCCACGCCAGUGCUUCCGCUUGAAGGUUGCCGAGAUGCAUGACGUGCAUAUGGUGCUAAGUGGUGGGAGCAUGUGUGAAGAAGUAUACCCCUGCAGGGUGAUUCAAUCUGUUCGAAUAGCCGCGUCCUCGGUUAUGGACUACUUGGAAACGUUACGUGGUACAUAGACAAUUUAAAUGGAUACUCUAAAACAUGCAAGAUAAGUGUGAGUGCUANNNNNNNNNNNNNNNNNNNNNNNNNNNNNNNNNNNNNNNNNNNNNNNNNNNNNNNNNNNNNNNNNNNNNNNNNNNNNNNNNNGACGAGAGUGGAUCCAUAGUGGUGUAUUGAAUUGGUGAAUAUGUGGACUCGUGUGCGCUAUCCCAGCUCAAAGAAAGAACUUGUAGUCGUAGUACAGGUUAGCCAAGAGUCAAAGCUGGCUUGCUUCAAUCAAACCCCACAAUCCUGUCAUUGAAACAUGAUGCAUAUGUAGAUAGUUCUGAUGUAAGACUUGCUGAGUACCUUUGUACUCACGGUUGCUUUAUUUAUGUUUUUGCAGAGAAGACUUAGACUCAUUAAAGGUUCUACGCGAUGUGUNNNNNNNNNNNNNNNNNNNNNNNNNNNNNNNNNNNNNNNNNNNNNNNNNNNNNNNNNNNNNNNNNNNNNNNNNNNNNNNNNNNNNNNNNNNNNNNNNNNNNNNNNNNNNNNNNNNNNNNNNNNNNNNNNNNNNNNNNNNNNNNNNNNNNNNCCACUUUUAGUAGAUGUCUGUACCCAGACAUGAUUUGCUUCCGCUUGUUGUUUGUAUGACUUGAGUGUCGGGUCACGAGACCCCUGUUUGUAAUAUCAUACUAUGUUGACUCUUAUGAGUCUUUAAUAAAUGCUUGAGUCAUAGAGUUAUGUUGUGAUGCCAUGUUGUAUCUACACAUAUCGUGCAUAAUGUGUGUAUGUUUGAAAUGCAUUAUAUGUGUGGGAUUCGACACCUAGUUGUUUGCCUUUAGCAGUACUCUUUACAGGGAAAUGCCUCUUUGUGAUUCCAUCGAGCCUUGGUAGUUUGGUACUGCUCGGAACACAUUGAUUGAUCGGCANNNNNNNNNNNNNNNNNNNNNNNNNNNNNNNNNNNNNNNNNNNNNNNNNNNGAUUGAUCGGCAUGUAUCCUGCUUUGCUGCUGUGUCUGUCCCCUCGGGGAAAUGUCACGCGGUGUAAUGGAGUCCUUGUAACUUGCUACGACUCGUCUACACACGCUGAUGACCGACACCUGCUUUGCUGGGUUAUGUAUGCAUGUCCCUGUACGGUUGUACCGCUGGGGUUUAUAACUAGUCAUGUCGACCCGGGUUCUUUAUCCUUUGAACGCUAGCAACAUAUUCAUAUACGUGAGCCAAAAGACGCAAACGGUCCCGACCAAGGUAAGGUGGCAGCCGUGGAGUUUAUCGUGCGUGAAGCCGCAAAGUGAUGUGAUGUGUUACAGGCUAGGUUCUUAUGACUCAGGAUCGGGGUCCCGACAUGAACAUGGUGNNNNNNNNNNNNNNNNNNNNNNNNNNNNNNNUUCUUAUGACUCAGGAUCGGGGUCCCGACAGCUUUGGUACCAGAGCUUGACUGCCUGUAGGAUAACCAAGCCAAACUGGUCGAUGUUGAGUCUAGCAACUCUUUAGUUAUAUAAGGGAAUUGUUUGUGGAAGGGAACGUAAGGCUCUUUUUACUCCUUUCCUUGUGUCAUUCUUAUUCUGAGUCACCCUCUUCUUUAUUCUACGGGGUUUAAGAAUUAGGCUUUCUCAUCUAUUCAUUAGGAUGACGAGUUACUAUGUUGGAGACUUAUAGAGAAGUUGUUGUCUUCCUAGAUCAGUGUCUCCAUAAGAAUUCAAUUGUUAUGUUGUUAGUUUUCUUGCAGGUUGCCUNNNNNNNNNNNNNNNNNNNNNNNNNNNNNNNNNNNNNNNNNNNNNNNNNNNNNNNNNNNNNNNNNNNNNNNNNNNNNNNNNNNNNNNNNNNNNNNNNNNNUUUCUUCGGAAAGUGCACUGUAUGCUCAUUACCGUUGACAUGGACAGUGACAUUGCCUUUGUUGCAAUCUAUAACAGUCCCUGCAGUGUUUAAAAAGGGUCUUCCAAGGAUGACCGCCAUGGCAUCAUCCUCGGGAAUAUCCAGGAUAUAAAAAGUCUGUUAAGAUAGNNNNNNNNNNNNNNNNNNNNNNNNNNNNNNNNNNNNNNNNNNNNNNNNNNNNNNNNNNNNNNNNNNNNNNNUUUCAGGCACAUCCUCGCAAAUGCCGAUAGGGAAAGCAGUUGAUUUGUCGGCCAUUUGUAGAGAGAUUUCAGUGGGUGUCAACUUAUCCAGUUCAAGUAUACGAUAAAGAGAGAUACAGGAAUAACACUAACACCGGCUCCAAGGUCGCAUAAAGCAGUUCUAACGUAGUUGCCUUUAAUGGAGCAAGGUAUAGUGGGCACUCCGGGAUCACCGAGUUUCUUAGGAGUUCCACCCUUGAAGGUAUAAUUAGCAAGCAUGGUGGAAAUCUCAACCUCAAGUGUCCUCCUCUUAUUAGUCAGAAUAUCUUUCAUGUACUUAGCAUACGGAGACAUUUUGAGCAUAUCUGUCAAACGCAUUUGCAGAAAGACAUGUCUAAUCAUUUCAACAAAUCGCUCAAAAUCCUCAUCAUCCUUUUUCUUGGAAGGUUUGGGAGGAAAGGGCAUGGGUUUCUGAACCCAUGGUUCCCUUUCUUUACCUUGCUUCCUAGCAGCAAAGUCAUUCUUAUCGUAUCUCCUAUUCUUAGGCUGUGGGUUAUCAAGAUCAACAGGUUCAAUCUCCACAUCCUUAUCAUUGAUAGGUUGAGCAUCGUCAUGAACAUCACUAUCGAUAUUAUCAUCAGGCUCAUGUUCAUCACCAGAUUGUGUUUCGGCAUGAGAGGCAGAGACAUCGUUUGAAUUCUGAGCUGUAACAGCAUCAGGGUUGCUAGCGUGCAAGUUCCUAUCAACAUCAUAGCUAGCCUUAAAAGCAAGAAAGUCCUAAGCUAUCUCUCCCUCCAUAACAUAACCCUUAGGCNNNNNNNNNNNNNNNNNNNNNNNNNNNNNNNNNNNNNNNNNNNNNNNNNNNNNNNNNNNNNNNNNNNNNNNNNNNNNNNNNNNNNNNNNNNNNNNNNNNNAAGGAAAAGACACUUGACAUUAGAAAAGCUUUAGCAUACGAACAAUAUAAUCUAGUGUUAUGCUUAGGAUUGGGUCUUGUCCAUCACAUCAUUCUCCCAAUGAUGUGAUCCCGUUAUCAAUGACAUCCAAUGCCCAUGAUCAGGAAACCAUGAUAAUCAAUUGACUAACGAGCUAGCCAACUAGAGGCUUGCUAGGGACAUAUUGUGAUCUAUUUAUUCGCACAUGUAUUACUGUUUCCUGUUAAUACAAUUAUAGCAUGAACAAUAGACGAUUAUCAUGAACAAGGAAAUAUGAUAAUUCUAGGGCAUAUUUCCAACACUUUAUUCAUAAUUUGGACACUUUAAUUCCCCUUCAUUGUUUAAUUCCCAGCAAUCAACUAAUAUUUUGAGUGAACUGUUUAUUUUAGACCUUUGACGAUCAUAUCCAUGGUCAUAUCAUAUUCUAUAUAUAUUACACCGUUAAAUGUAUUACUUUUAUCUAUAUUAUGACUUGUUAUCCACAUAUAUGUGAUAGACAUGGGACCCGGGUCAUUUUUGUCCUGGGUCCGCCCCUGAGUACUACUCCCUCCGUCCUAAAAUAAAUGUCUUAACCUUAUUAUAACUUUGUACUAGCUCUAGUAUAAAGUUUUGAGACAGUUAUUUUAGGACGGAGGGAGUACUUGUUUGUCAAUGUAUGCAUGUGUUGGAGUGCCUGCUUUAGUAACAUAUAGAUAAAACGUAUCUAGAGCACCAGAGAUAUUAUACGUACAAUAUGAUGGGUUUGGUCUGAGCCCGCUAGCCAAGCUUAUGCCACUAAACAUAUGGCAGCUCAAGAAUGUCUGAUGGUCACGCCUAGAUAGGUGCAGUACAUGCAUGCAAAAAAUCCAGUGUCCCGUUUUAUUUUACUAGCAAAAGGGCCCGUGCGUUGCAACGGAAGAAAAAAUACCACACGCUUUUAAUUUUUUUAUAAUCAUUUUGAUUUAUUAAAAUAAUAAGCUAACUAACUAAUGUACUCAGUCCUAUCCUAUUAUGUUGAGAAAUCAACCCGUCCAUUGUUAAUUCCACCACGAUGAGAAAUUGAGCGGGACAAGCAAAGCAAAACAAACAGGCUACGUGAAUUGAUCGAUGGACUGUUAUCUUAUUUCACUCAUGGGGUAGAGAAUGUGGGAUCAGAUGACAAACUAAAGGUGGUGUUCCAUUCUCUCUCUACAACAAUGCAAUCUUACAUUCAAUACAUUCGUUCAUCAGCAAACAAAUUUCCACAAAACAAAAUUUCUUGCCGGUGCUUGGCACACGGUUGUAGGCAUGGGGAGGGGAUCUCACUAGAUGAUGAGUUCCUGCCGGAGGAGGGGAUACGAUGAGGGUUAGGCGCCUCUAUCUGGCCAUAAGGAGUCGUAGUUGCCGCGCCAUAACCUCAGAGUUCUCCGUGUGAGGCAUCGAGGCCUGCCUCCAACUGCAAGUACUUCGCUCCGCCGUGCCUUAUCCGCGCGCCGCCGCCGUUCUGCAUCGAGCAGACGCAUCAUCCCAAGUCGUUGUAGCUGUCGCGUUGAUUUGAUCCAGAAGCUGUGCUCGAGCGCCGAAACGGGGGCAGCAAGCGGGCAGAGAUACGACCGCGGAGGCAGGUGGGUUGAGAUCAACAACAGUGGUGGUUGAGGUCGGCCGCGGCGGGCGAGUGGUGUGGUAGCGGCCUGGGCACAGGCCAGGGUGGACCAGGGUCGACGCGAUGCGCUCGAGCGCCGCAACAGGGGCAGUGAGAGGGGAGAGGUACAUCCGCGGAGGCGGGUGGGUUGAGAUCGGCAGCGAUGGCGGUUGAGGUCGGACGCUAUGGCGAGUGGUGUGGCGGCGGCCUGGGCACAGGCCAGGGUGGCCCAGGGUCGACGGGAGGAGGCGAUGCGUACGGGUAUAAUUUUUGCAGCGAAUCGUUUUUUCUUUUUGCGUUGCAGAUAAAUGAUGGAGCGCGGGUUGAAUAACAAAAAUUACAGGGGCUUUUUUAUAAAAAUACCGUGGUGGGUUUUCCGACGGAAGCAAUAACCGCUUUAUUAUUAGGUAUAGAUUUGCCUUGAUAUGGAUGUGUGGCCAUACUAGAAAGGACCGAGUUUGCGUUGAUGAUAUACGAGGUAGAGUUGGGAUAACAACAAUUGGAAAAAGCUUGUUCAACAUCGUCUAAGAUGGUUUGGACAUAUUCAACGCAGGACUCUAGAAACUUUAGUGGAUAACGGAUGGCUAAAGCAGGUUGAUAAUAUCAAAAGAGACAGGAAUAGACUGAACUUGACAUGGAAGGAGUCUGUAAAGAAAGAUCUGAAAGGCUGAAGUAUCAUCGAAAAACUAGCCAUGGACAAGAAUGCGUAGAAGUUUGCAAGCCAUGGCCAAGGUGAGGUGGGCACCAUCCGGUUUAAAUAAACAACCUUCUAUUUUUCUAGAACACUAAUCAAUGCAAGCAAUGAUGUUAUGGCCGAUGGGCCAAGCACACACUCGUGAGGCUUAAAAUUUUUGUUUCUGAAUUUUAUAUAUUCAAACUCCUCGCGCCCAAACCUUGAAAAUUACAUCAAUCUUGGAUACAUUUCAAACACAUUACAAUUUCAAUGAUUCAACCCACUUUUCACUUAAUCAAUUUCAGUGUGUAAAAUUAUAUUUUUAUCUGACUGAAAUAAGUUUAUUGAACUAAGUGAAAUUAUAUUGAUCAAAAUUAGUGAAAUUUAUUUUUGGAAAAUAGUCCAAACAACUUUCAAAUUGAGUGGAAUCUAUUUUUCAAGAUAGCCGAAAUCUAAUUUAUUUCUGAUGAGUUAAAUUAGUUUUCUGAAAUGAAUGAAAUAAUAAUAUAGUCAAAAAACGACUUAUAUUAAGUUAUAGAGGAGUAUGCUUUUGAAAUAAGUGAAAUUACUAACUUUGAAUUUAUUUAAAAAAAUGAAAAUUAGAGAAAUUUGUUUUCUAUCCAAGUACAAUUACUAUUUUUUAUAUGAGUGAAAUUAUUUUCUUGAAUUGAGUGAAAUCAUUUUCUGAAAUAUGUGAAAUGUUAUGUUUGAAUUGAGUGAAAUCACUGUUCGAAAGGACUGAAGUUAGUUUUUUGAAUUAGAGAACAUUUUUCUGUAAAUGAGUGAUUUUUUUCUUUUAUUGUGUGAAAUAUGUAUUUAUUUGAAAUAAGUGGAAUCAACUUUUUAAAAUGAGUGAAAUCCUCAUUCGGUAUUAGUGAAAUAUGUUUUUGUCAAUUAGAAAUAUCAUUUCUUAAAGUGAGUGAACUUAUAUUGAAUUAACUGAAAUCAGUCUUUUGAAAUGAGUUAUAUUAUUAUUUUUGGAACUAAGUGAAGUAUGAGUUUUGAAUUCUGUGAAAUAUGUCAUUUGAAAUGAAUGAUAUUAACUUUUUGAAAUGAAAUUGAUGUUUUGAAAAAAGAGAAAUCAGUCUUAUGAAAUUUUAAAUGGAAUAAAAUCUACUCAACACUUAUAUUGUUUGAAAGAUCUUGUCAUCAAUAGUUCAAAUGUAUAAAAAGGUUCAAAGUUGGAAGAAUUGAUCUCUCACAAGUAAAUAAAAUACUAGCAUUUCUUAGUGGGGUGAGGGGCCGGGGUGGGGGAAGCUAUGAUGGGUGUGGGGAGGGGGGAAGCUAUGAGUAUGCAUGCGUAUAUUUCCGUGAGUGGAUCUAAGUUGGUGGAAAUAUGUUCAUGUAUCAUAAGACAGUGUUGGUCUUGUAGAGCGAUGUAUUGCACAUGAAAAUGUUUCAUUACUUUAUACACAGAAGGGAAACAUGCAUUUGAACACAACAAUCAGCGCUAGAUUCUUCAUGGGCACCUACCGGAACUGUUAGAAUUUUUUUUAGCAAUAUAUAAGUGGCCUAAAAAUCUGCUUUGUAUUACCCGAUUUUUCUGACCAUUUCUGCUUUAAGAUACGUACACCUUUUAUUUCUUGUACUUUCUAUGAGUUGUUUUGGGCUGAUUGUUUUUUACUAGCCACAUAUUCGCGCUAGUCAACUUAUUAACGGGCUGAAGCCCAUUACCUGUGUGAUCUUUGGUCCCACCUCCCCUUUAUUUAUUUUUGUUCUGUUUUUUGCCUUUAUAUGCUUUUCCAUGUACGUAUUAUUUUUUCUUUAUCAGACAGGUUUGUAAUUUUCUCUAUUUUGAGUGCAUUUUCGGUAUGUUUUGUGAGUGUAAAUGUAGACUAAAAAAUAAUAUAAAAUGUACGGGGAAUGCAUUAUUAUAUGAUUAUUCGUUGCAUGCCACAAAAAAGCGUUGUUCCAUUACAAAGAUGUGUGCAAGGUUUUUUCAUAUACUUUGUUCUUAAAGGGUAACACUAAUACCACUAAUUCAUUGGUCCUUAUAAAAAAUCCUUAUUUUGAUCUAUUUUGGUUAGUAUUAUUUUUUCUAUCUUUUUAUGGGUGAUACCAUAUGGCUGUAGUUCAUUCCUUCUUAGUAUUAUCUGCUUAUUAUGGCAAAUUAUAAAAAGAAAUUUUGUGUGGAUUUUUCUACUAUUUUUAAUGUUUUUAUUUUACUUAUUCUUAAAUAUUCUUCCUAAAUGGCAAUACCAAUACCACUAAAUAAUUUCUUCUUUGAUUGUUUUUCAAAAAUUACAUUAUUAUAUGCUUAUGCUUGCAUAUUAUGAAAUUAGCUAUUUGUGUAUUCUAGUGGUUCAACAUCAAACAUGUCCGACGUAUACGUCACACUCAAUAUAUUCUAGAUUUUCAUAAGAUUUAAUAUGAUUUGAAUACGGGUAUGGCAAGGCAAAGAAAGUUUGUAUUUUGGCAACAAUCAUGUCCCUCAAUCAUGUCGGACUUAAUGUGUUGUCGUGGAAAGUACCAAUUUCGUUUUGACUAUUCAAAGUUACUCAUUUAUGGUUGUUUUUUUAUUUUUACGAAAUUUGUUAAGAUUACCACAAAAAAAAGUAACCAAAGUGGAAGGUGAGGUGUGUGUUGAAAAUACGUCCGUUGGAUCCAUCGCAAAAAAAAAAACACGUUCGUUGGAUGUUAAUGGUGUAGGAAAAUGUGUCUGGAAUUGAAAUAAAUUUCAGGCACCUGGACACCUGGUGCAUAGGCGCUCUCUUACUUUAUAUUUGUCUACCCGCAAAGAAAAAAACUUAUGGAGUAUAUAUCCACAUAUCUGCAGUCGUGCUGUGAUGUGUUUGCUCGGUUUGUCCUGUGUGAAGAAAAAAAAAACGUCCCUCCUGGUAGCUUGUCGAUCGUGAGGAGCUGGCUUGAGAAUGGAAUGCUAUUUUGUCCGCUAUACAAAAUAAUUCGAUCGAUCCGUGCAAGUCCCUCUCAAGUGCCCCGAAUUUUCCAGCACAAGACGAAUAUCCAUGAAGCGUUGCAGUUUUUUCCAACCUACUUCCUCCGUUCCUAAAUAUAAGUCUUUUAAAAAAUUUCACUAGAAGUCUACAUACAAAGCAAAAUGAAUGAAUCUACACUCUAAAAUAUGUCUAAAUACAUCUGUAUGUAGUUUACUAAUGAAAUCUCUAAAAGAACUUAUAUUUAGGAACGGAGGGAGUAUAUGACACGGCGAGAACGUUCAACAGAUACCAGCUACCUAAGCCACGCCUGGCGUCACUCUCAGUGGAGAAGUUGCAAAGACCAAUAUUGGCUAGCAUGCGAUGUGGCAGAUUUUUCCCAGCCAGCAUUGGCCGGCUUGUAAAUUGUCGUCCCUACCAAUCUUGAAAUAUAUUCCUUCUAGCGAUCCUUCACCCAAGCUACAAAGUACUAUAAAUGAGCACGUCCUAGCCAAUCCCUUGAACCAACAAUACCACAGCAAUCAAGCAAGCCAAGAAACAACAAUGGCCGCCUCCUCGUCGGCGCUCAUCAUUCUCCUUGCCGCAGCCCUGACCGCGGGGGCUAGCGCCAGGAGCUUCUCCAUCACGAACCGCUGCAGCUUCACUGUGUGGCCGGCGGCCACCCCGGUGGGCGGCGGGCGGCAGCUCAACGGCGGCGAGACAUGGAACCUCGACAUCCCCGACGGCACCAGCUCCGCCAGGAUCUGGGGCCGCACGGACUGCAGCUUCAACGGAAACAGCGGGAGAUGCGGCACCGGCGACUGCGGUGGCGCUCUGUCCUGCACGCUGUCCGGCCAGCCCCCGCUGACGCUGGCGGAGUUCACCCUCGGUGGCGGCACAGACUUCUACGACAUCUCCGUCAUCGACGGGUACAACCUCCCCAUGGACUUCUCCUGCAGCACCGGCGUCAACAUUCAGUGCCGCGACCGUAACUGCCCCGACGCGUAUCACACGCCACCGGAGCCCAAGACCAAAGCUUGCAGCGGCAACAGGAGGUUCAAUAUCGUCUUCUGCCCAUGAUGGCCUAGCUCUACCAUACGCAUGCAUGCUUGUCAUGCGCCAUGGCAUGCCACAAUGAUAUUUGUUGUACCGCUUCCAUUUUCCAUGUAAUAAUGGCCGUGCGAAUGUGUACGAGUGUCCAAUAAAGUCGAUACAUAAUAAAGGUAAAUAAUAUUAUCAUUUCCAGUUUAGAAUAUUUAAGUUGCCUUAUAAUAUGCGGUGUCAAGAACGAACCUAGAAAUUGAAAUUUCUAAUAUUGUUCAGUUCUCCCCGUUUUGCUCAAAAACACCCCUCCCCGGCCAUGUUUUCCAGACCUUUCAAUGAUGGUUUGUUCAGGUUUUCAUGUAUUUUGAAAUGGUUCAAGUGGAGGCUUGACAUGCAUACACCCAAGUAGAACUGAAACUAGUGUGAAAAUACAAACAAAAUUCACUGAAAUUUGUACCAAACAUUAUGAACCCAUGGAACCACAUCGAAACUCCUGUACUACAUGCAUAUCGCCACGGUCGCACCCGACUCGCCCUGGCGCGCGCACGCACACGCACCUGAUCCGGUCUUGCUGUGGCUUACAGAAUUAUUCCAACGGGAAAAAGUGGCUGAAAUUAAAAUAAAUUUUGGGUAUCCGAUGCAUAGGCGCUAGCAUGAGAAGGGAAUGCUAAUUUGUCCACUAUACAAGAUAAUUCGAUCGAUACGUGCAAGUCCCUCUCAAGUGCCCCGAAUUUUCCAGCACAAGACGAAUAUCCAUGAAGCGUUGCAAUCUUUUUCCAACGGCGAAAACGUUCAACAGAUACUCCUACGCCGGUUAUCCUAGGCUCGUCGACCGGGUGAGGCUCGCAGAUUUUUCUCGGCCAGCGUUGGCCGGUGCAUACGCAUCGAUGUAAAUUGUCGUCCCUACCAAUCUUGAAUUUUCCUUCUAUCUAUCCUUCACCCCAGCCUUCUACUACUAUAAAUAAGGACGUGCCUUACACCAGCCAACAGCACCACAGCAAGCAAGAAACAAUAAUGGCCGCCUCGUCGUCGAUGCUCAUCCUCCUCCUGGCCGCGGCGCUCGACGCCGAUGCCAGGGCCACCAGCUUCUCCAUCACCAACCGCUGCUCCUUCAUGGUGUGGCCCGCGGCCACCCCGGUGGGCGGCGGCCGGGAGCUCAACAGCGGCGAGACGUGGAACCUCGACAUCCCCGGCGGCACAGAAUCUGCCAGGAUCUGGGGCCGCACGGGCCGCAGCUUCAACGGCAACAGCGGCAGAUGCAGCACCGGCGACUGUGGCGGCGCGCUGUCCUGCACACUGUCCGGCCAACGCCCCAUGACGCUGGCAGAGUUCACCCUCGGCGGCGCUAUGGAUUCCUACGAUAUCUCGGUGAUCGACGGGUACAACCUCCCCAUGGACUUCUCCUGCAGCACCGGCGUUGCGCUACGGUGCCGCGACCCCAGCUGCCCGGACGCAUACCACCAGCCCAACGACGUCAGGACCAAACCUUGCAGCGGCAACAGAAGCUUUCAAGUCGUCUUCUGCCCAU
This 86092-nucleotide long non-coding RNA is filed under the name Hordeum vulgare. RNAcentral describes it as "long non-coding RNA (HVUL_LNC011382)". The record is from RNAcentral. Lineage: Eukaryota; Viridiplantae; Streptophyta; Magnoliopsida; Poales; Poaceae.